AUAGCUUCACCAGCGGCCCCCUUUCCCAAGGCAGUUCCCUGCUCUCCCCUGCGAGAGGGGCACCCUAAUCCAUUCACCCCAUCCGACUUCAGAAUGUAUUCGUUGGUUUCAGCAACUCACCACCAGCAUCCAACCAAAUCUAGCGGUUAAACGGCGCCUCAACUUAGUUCCUGGUCAGGUCGCAAAUUGUUAUAAUCACGUCCAACACCGUCCACAAUAUGGGGGUCCAUUUCCCAAUUCAUCACCCCUCACACACCAAGGAGUCGGCAAGCGGAUCUGAACACGGACACUCCGAAGUUAGGCCUUAACCUCUGCCGGCCACCUGCCGUAUACAUGUAUGUCUUCUGCACGCCCGCGCGGACACCUGGCCCAGACGAGGUGCCGCCACCCUGGCAAACGAGGACUUCUGGUGUCGGAGGGCCCUCCAUUUGCCGACUCCAUUGUCGACACUUGAAGUACUUUACGCGCACAUGGUCCUCGUGUUGCUGCAGGUAUGACGUGUGCUAGUGUGUCGGGAGGAGCUAUAUCUUGGCAAGCAACGUCCCCACCCCCGGGGGAAGGGGGCUCCGGGGAGUGGGGUUCCGGCCGUGGGGGAAGGGCUUUGCGGUGUGUUGCACCGGCGUGUAUGUGUCGCUAUCGCACAUGCAAGACCGAAGCAAAUAUUUCUCCCUAUAGUAAGCGCAUUAAUAUCAUUACUAUUUGAACUACUGUGUUCUUUGUGGCUUGAAGGAAUGCUAUACCGUUGACAUGACAAACUCGACUUUGUUCGGGUCGAGUUUCUUCACGUUCGCCAACCCUACCAAAUUGCUGGUGUUUAAGAGAAAAAGACGGUUGUGCUGGAAUUGCGAGCAGCGCGCUGGCAAGAAAUCGGUUAGCAUCGCUCCAGGGCGGCACCUCGUCUGGGCCAGGUGUCGCGGACGGUAUGCAUGUCUUAUUGUCUGUAUGUACGUAAAACUACGGAAGGCAGAAGGCGAAAAAGCAAGAGCAGGGGGUGUAAGGUGGUGAUAAAUACAAACACACAUACAGACAUACUGACAUCGGACAUUUCUAAGUCAGACAUCGGAGGAUAAAGUUAUGUUUUGACCUAACUGCCCCUAUGAUGCCUUUUUUAAAGGCAUCGUACGGGAUCAAGCGGGGACGCGGACCCACAUUGGUGGUGUUACGAAGAGUGAGACAGCAGUAAGAAUACGGGAGAGCUGCAAGGUUAUAUAUGCUUUAUAUACUAUACGCACUGUACGGCUAUAGGUGCGUGUCAAGCAAGGCUGCCCGUAAUGCAUCAAAAUUUCUUUGUCGGUCAGUGCGGCUGGAGCGGUGUGUGUAGGUGCAGCAGCAGCAGCAGCAGCAACAGCCGGCUACCGUCAACACCCUGUCAACAACAACAGCAACAAACAGUGACAAUGGGAGAGAUGUUACAUGACGGAGCCGGAAUCCAAGAACUGAGAUCUCAUAGAUGUAUUUGAAAGGAGGCCUUCCCCGUCGGGUUGCACGGCGUCAUCACAUGGCGCACUAACUGCUAUUGUAUCCUGUGUCCACCACCACGCACCCUUACAUUGCACGAGCACGAGCACGAGCCCCCCAAAUAAUUGUAUUGUAUUGUGGUUACAGUAUUUCCGCCGCCGACGCGGCGGGUGCCCUCACGAGCCGUGAGGCUCCAGAGCACGCUGUUGACGCUCAUCAAAAACCUCAGUAAGGAAAGUAGCGAUUUUCCUCGGAUUGGUAUUAAGAAAUACCUUGCGCAUAUCAGUAUCUUCAACGUUAAUCAGAAACCUAUUACGCAACUCAGUAUACGCCUCACACUCCAUGAGCACAUGGUAUUCAUCCUCAACCUUACCCGACGUACAGACCUGACACGUACGGCACUCUCUCGGCCUAUGGUGUCCUUUGUUGACCUCCAAAGGCCAACAACAAAGACGGAAUUUGGCAACCAUACGCAACUGGUUGGCCGGCAAAUAAACACGCAAAUAGCCUGUGGGAUCGGAGCCCUCUCUUGCUGGUGAAGGGGAGCCCAUCCAGUUAUGAUACCUGCAAAGCGAAACCCCUUUACCUUGGAACACACGCGGAUCACCCCCUUGGCUGAACUGAUCCCAGUCACUUAAAAGGAACGCAGAUAACCUCUCCAGAACCUCACCCACUCGAAUCAACUGAGACGAGUAUACAUCUACCUUCUGAGAAACGGAGUCACACGCCGGCCACUCAUGGCCCAACCAACGCAAAAUGAUGAGCACUUUAGACGACCAGCAAUCCACUUUGAGAUCAGACAGAAGAGCCAGACGGAGAUCAUCUACUAACACGUCAUGAUAGACCGACCCACGGGACUUGACUAUCUUAUUCCAGAAACACAACGCAAGGCGUAACCAAAAGUACUGCAAAGGCAACUGAGACAGCUCCCUGUACAACAGCUUGUAAGGUACCUGCUUGAGCCCAGCACAACGUAAACAGAAGUCACGCUGGACCUGGACCAUACCAUCUUCCAAAGCCAAAUCAAAAUAUGACUUACCAGCGGGUAAAACACCUUUACCUAGCCGCAGGACGGAGACAAUCCUAUCAGGACCCCAGACCUCAGCACCAUAACAGAGAACCGAACGGACCUGGGUGUCGAACGCUUGAAGCCGAACGGCAGGAGCCCACACCCUGUUCUCAUCCAACCGAUUACUAAGACCGAACAUAGCCCGUCGCCCUGCUUCCAAAAGUUCGUUGACACAACUCGCAAACGGGGACGCAAAUUAACGUACAAGGGGGGAUCAUUAUCGCGCCAUGCAGCAGUACAGCAGUUAACAUACUCCGCAUUCGUUGCUACAGACAGACAGACAGACAGAAAGUGUGAUCAGCGUUACGGACGGAUACGGGCACCAUGCCCGUAUAAUUCCUCUAGUAUACAUGGUAUCUCAAAGUUGUGAAGGCGAUGGUGGGUAACAAAUUCGGCAAGCCAAGAACCAAACGAAUCGAGUGCCGCCAAUCGUUUGGUACCUUCAGUUCAUUACUUCACGUUUUUUGCAUUCGAAACACGUAUUCCGCCUAUUGCGCGCGUACACUUGGCAGCAAGCGAAGCCCGUAUGUGGGGGCAUGUGUGGGCACAAGCCGCACGUGCGCGUGCGUGCGAUUACUUGAUGUGAUACACGUAUCUGCAGCACUCCUCCGCAGCAGGCGAUCACGACAGCACUCCUAAAAAAAGAAUCAAGGGUAAGAUUAGUCAUGUGCGUGUGGCAAUAAACACGGCUAAGCGCUCAUAUGCGAUUUAUGGGAUGCACUCAUGCAGGCGUGGGUCACAGUUCCCAGGGAAAGGGAAAGGGGGAGAGGGCUGCACGCACCUUGCCAGAGGCAUUCGUGCAUACUAAAGCCGCUGCACGGCAUGUUGCACCCCCGCACAGGCAUAGUUGAGGUACUGAGGCACUCCCAUGCGUGCAUGGCCACCGAGAACGACAAUGAUGUGGCCACAGAAGGGGGGAGGUAACCGCGGAUCCGCCUGACAGCAUUCGUUCCGCUGUAUACAGCUAUCCCCACAAACACACACGGCCAUGCGUACGGCACCCAAGUAAAAGGCCGAGUUGCAGACCAUCGGGGAAUACCCACCGAAAAACGCGGUUGAAAUUAAUUAUUAGGUAUGUCCAACAGAUAUACAUCAGGCUUAUCAGUAUCGGGGGGUCCCCGUAAUACUAGUAUAGUAUUGGAAUAAUGCAACCCACUGCCGUACAUCCAUCAAUACACACCUCAUGACAUGGUCCACAACUGUCAGCUCAUAACUGCCUUUGGCCCCACCCCCACCCCCACCCCCACUACGAUUGGCAUGCACCACAUCGGUAUCCCGCAAUAAUGGCAGUCGCCUCCUGUCCUACCGGGUUGCCAGCAGCAGCAGCAGCAGCAGCAGCAGCCUAACCGUACCUCUUCUAGCGGUCCCCCCGCACGGUGUAAGCACGGAACCUGGAUUGACGGCUCGCAGCCACAUAGCUGCUACAUUUUGUCGUCGUAUGGCCGUACGGGGGUUGCUGAUAUAGCCAACGACCAACCGCCUGGCGGCGACCAAACCGUCGAACUCCAGCAUCUCAGAGGUGCAUGUUGACCUCCCCCCCCGGCUGCCCCCAGAUCCGCUGCUCCCGGGAAUUUUCACCACCACACAUUAUACCUAGUUAUAUCAUAUACGUGGGCAGGGGGACAUGCCGUACCCGGUGGUUCCCCCCCCCAUGCCCCGCGGCUCGAAACCCAUCAACUUACCCCCCCCCGCCCCCCCCCUCCUCCAAACGACGCUCAUUACCGAAUGUUCUCAUCGCAGCGCCCCCCCCCCUUGGUGGUGGUGAUGGCGAUGGCGAUGGCGGAGAGGUAGGGGUAGCCCUGCGCCCUCUUUCCGUGUGGCUAUUCUUCUCCCACCAAACCGUCACAACAUAACGAGCACCGCUGCAUCCACACACACCCAGGCUUAAGUACGUGCCAGGCAAACGUCCAAUCCAUCCGCCCCAUCUUCCUUCUGAGUGCGCCUCCAUUUCGCCCACCCUCGUUGGAUAAGUGCCGCGGGCGCUCCAAAACCACAGCGCGCAGCCUUUUUGCUACUCACAUUGCUUUUCCAACCCCCCAAAUUCCCAGUUAGCCCGGCAGUCGCACGGCAGUGCAGGCACACGACAGUCUCAAACACUACACAUAUCGGGCCCUUCCUUGAAGCGACUCGAGGCGGCGGAAACGAUCGAACUACUAGAGGAUAAGGCGCAAGGACGCUUUCGGUUUCUCGCCUUCUGAGCUGCCAGAUCUGCAGAGAUACACGCGGAAGUGAGUGAGUUGGCUGCUGUUGCUGUUGGUGGUGGUGGUGCUGCUGCUGUUGUUGGGGUGUUACACUGUGGGGGGCGGCUCGUCCCGAGAAAGGACGAGAGCACCGGGGGCCGAAACACAGCGCAAGGGGGGGGCGCGCGGCUCUACGUCCGUCUGUUCCUCCGCGCGCGAUUCACUUCCCCACUGCUUUUGUUGCUGUUGUUGGUGCUGCUGUUGCUGCUGUUGUUGCUGCUGCUGCGCGUGCUGCUGCGGCUGCUGCUGCUACUGCUGCUGCUGUUGGUGCUGCUGUUGGUGCUGCUGGGGCGUGUUGAGGCGGCGGCCUGACCAUGCGCCGGAAUUUAUACUCCCAAUCAAACGCCGCCUUAAUGAGCUCCUGUUCCGCCUUCUCCUUGGCCAACAGCUGGGCCCUGGCCGCCUCAAUAUCCUGCUCCAGCUUCGACCGUACAGCCCUCUCAAGAUCCAAUUGCUCCCUCAAUUUCUGCUCUUUUGCCCGCUGGGAUUCGUCCAGGAUUGGCCACUGCUCCUCCUCCUCCUGGUAGCGCUUCUGUAAGGAUUCUUUUUCGUUCUCCUGCCGCGUCCUCGUCCUCUCUAGCUGCUUGAUUCGCCUAUCCUUGGCCCGGAGCAACCGCCGCAUGUUCUCCAAGUCCUCCCGGACUUUUGGUGUCAGAUCCGCCAGCGAACCGCCCUCCUCGUCGCCCAUCUUCCCCGUCCCCUGAUCCUCACGUUUCCCAGUUCUCCUCGGCGCCGCACCGGUACCAGCACCAGCAGCACCGGUACCAGCACCAGCAGCACCGGUACCAGCACCAGCAGCACCGGUACCAGCACCAGCAGCACCGGUACCAGAAGCAGCACCAGUACCAGCAGCAGCACCGGCAGCACCAGAAGCAGGCUUAGGGGGCUGUUGGCUUCUCGAAGGGUCUGCUGAUGUCGGUGCAGGUGCGGCGCUGUUUCCUCUUAGCGGGGCAGCGACACCAGGAACCGUGUUGCGGUCCACCGGUGAGUCCCGAAAGACCGACUUGGCGUUCUUGAUUUCUGCAGCCGGAGCUACCGGUGGGCACUUCGCGGCUGCCCUCACCUCCGGAGCCGUCUCCCGGACCGGCGACUUGUUCUCGUGCUGUUGCUGUUGCUGUUGCUGUUGUUGCUGUUGCUGCUGUUGUUGCUGGUACUGCUGCUGGUACUGCUGCUGGUACUGCUGCUGGUACUGCUGGUACUGCUGGUGCUUUCCGGUAAGAUUCAAAAAGUCCUUGACCCACAUCCACGCACCUAAUUGUGGCUGUGGCUGUGGCUGCGGCUGUGGCUGCGGCUGCUGCGGGGUUGGUCGCUUCAAUUGGGGUUGUUGGUCCUCAGAGGCGGCGUCGGCUCCUUCCCGCGCUCUCUUCCUGGUCGCGUCUGAAGACUGCGCGGACGCCUCGGACCGCGGUGGCGGUGGCGAUAGCGGUGGCGGCGGCGGCUGAGGCUCCGAAGCUACAUGCUGCUGAUCCGCGGCGGCGCGAGUUGCCUUCAUUGUUGGGGUUUCCGUUGCGGUUGCCGUUGCGGUUGCGGUUGCGGUUGCCGUUGCCGUUGCUGUUUGCGAACCUGAAUGCGCCAUGAUGCGAUGUGGGCCAUGGCGUCCAAGGACGGGCCGGUUGUGGGUUCGGAUUUAGGGUUUUGCUUUUUGGGGCACUACUGGCGGAUGCCGCCAACCGGGGGGAGAGCAGUCAAUGGCAGUCAAUGGAUGCAAUCCGUCAUUUUCCCCCCGAUGACGGCGGUGGCGGUGUCGUGGUGGUGAAGGGGGCGGGGGUUGUCGCUUGGGAGCAGUGCUGCAGGGCCAGCUGCUGCUGUUGCUGAUACUUUCAAUCGCUACUAAUAACGGGCCAGGUAAAGACCAAGUAGGUUGUGGGUAGGUAAGAGCGGUGAUGAUGAAACCCUAAGUACAUAUGGCGUGUGAGGUACGGAUGCAAACGUAAGGGAUAUGUACGGCGUCUCUGAAUGCAUGCCCGGUCUGUACGGGCACCCAGUUCCGGUGUAAAGGUACUCACCGUGCUGAAGUGCGUCCAUGUUACCGACUCCGUUAACAAAGGGAGCAUCGGCCAGUUUCUUGCACUGUUGUUGCUCCUGCUGCUGCUGCUGCAAUAGCUUCUGCUUCUGCUGCUGCUGCUGCUGUUGCAAUAGCCUCUGCGUCUGCUGCUGCUGCUGCAACAGCUUCUGCGUCUGCUGCCGCUGUUGUAGGAGGUAGUACUGAUAACCGAGGUCAGGGUUGUAGCCGCUCGUUGGUCGCAUCAUCCUGCUGCUACUGCUGCUGCUGUAGCUGCUUAUGCUGUUUAUGUUGAUGGGAGGUGGAGUCCACAAGGGCCGCUGGGAAGGCAUCAUUCCAACGGUCCUGCGGACAUGAAGCCAUGUGGGACACAUGAGCAGCAAUCAGGGAGAGCAAUCCAUGAUAAACUUGGAAAAGAAGACGCUCUCUUCAAAACGGUGCGUGGUAUAAUGGAAGACGACCACAUGCAUCUGUGGCACCUGCGACGUCUGUUUUCUUUACAUGCGCUUGUUUUCAGCACAUAGAUUAUCAGGGAUAUAGACAGCAGCUCUAAUUGGGAGUCGAGAGCCCUGGGUUUGUCGUCCGCGCGGCGGUAAAACCGGUCUGCAGCAUGACGGCCACUUGGCGUUAUAACAGUGGAAACAAAGCCCACCUGCAAAGGUCGGAACCUGCAUAGGCCGAGUACUUGGAUCCGUCCAUGGCGGUGUGAGGAUUGAAACUGUGUUGCUAACCUCUGUCCUGUUGCUAACCGAGCAACAAAUAUGACGACUGGAAGACGAUUGGAAAGAGCAAACGCUGAUGAAUUGAUAUCUAUUUGAAUAUCAAUUUUGUUUAUUGUUUAGUUGCAUCCACAGCUUUAAGCAAAACAUUAUGUACCAUAUUCUGUUCCCUCCGCCGCCUGCGACAGUAGCGCAGGUCAGCUGGGCCCAUCAUGGGUUUUCAUAAGUUUUCGUCCGGUUUUCGCUUCAGCAGGUUUAUCUCCACCAAGUUUUCGAAACAGAUUUUCUUUGUGAAAGAUGGUUUACUCAGCAGUCAGACUUGCAAGCGCACGGCAAAACUGAGCGAUGCCUCUGGCAUACAUUUACUAAUAUGACAAAGGCACGAUUAAUUAGUCUCAAUAAUCAUCUCAGCUAUGCAUAUUGUAACUGCCAAGGCUUGCCGAGCUUGUCGGGUUGCGCACAGUUUGGCAACAGCCUUGCGAGGUAGUUGAUGCACAAGGCACAGACAUUUUCCUGGAGUCCUCAAAUGUGACAUUCCGCGUUAUUAUAUGUUGAUUCAGUAGCGGCAGGCACCUCAAGGCAGGAAAAAGGCUGCACUGUGUGCUACGGUGGACUCGGACAUCAUUCCCAACAUAUGCCAUUGCCGGCGACGCACCCACUGCCAACAAACAAAGCUUUUAUUCAUCGACAUUGGAUGUGCUAUAUAUCUUAUCAAGUCUUUGGCGGUUUCCGUAGCCGUGAGCGCUCAUAUUCACGCAUGGACCUCUCCAUCUAGGAGCACUGUCACGGAUUGGCCAUGGACAUGGCUGCACAGGAUCGCCAGGGACGCGGAUGAGAUUGUGGGGGGUACUUAACGUGGUUACCCCAUUAAUGCUGAGCCGGUCGCUCUUCUACCGGCAGCUUUCGCCUGCGAGUGCUGGGGGAGAAAGUAAUCCGUAGACGCAGGGCCAAAAAAUGUUCCAGGAUAAAUAUGAUUCUUCCAAUCAAAACAUUUAACUCCACUCCGUUUGACAGCACAUUUGGCUGGGCCUCCGCGCCUCGCCGGCCGCUGGCCAACAAGGCUUUGCGAUAUUCAACGUGUUAGAUGUUUCAAACCUUAAGAAAUUUCUCACAUGUUACCUUAUGCUUUGCUGUUUUGGAAGGUUAAAGGUAUUUGAGGUGCCGUCUCAGCGGUGCUGCGGCUCGGGCGCCGUAUCGAGCUAGUUCAAUCAGGUUCAAUCGUCCCGCAGCGUAAGCGAUACUAUAUGCUAGCUGCGGUUAUAAGAGCUCAGCUUAUGCAUAAAGAUUUAUUUUAAUUUUUUACAAGAAAUUUAAUUGCACCGCAUCCUCGGGACGAGGCUCGUGUGCGGGCUAAUGAAUGCUCAGGGCAAUGUCGAACAUCCAACUCAAGACUGGUCCGCGGCAACGCAAUCCCCCCACUUAACAUAGUUGAUCGGAGAUUGCGCUGCGGGAAGCGAAUACCGCUUUAUGCUAUAUUCUCGUGCUAGACGUCAAGUGGUCCUCUGGAACCUGGUUCUGGAGCGGGCAAGUUUGGGGCUUCCAAGGCCGGCCUUCUGAGUUUUUAAGUUACUUCAUCGUUUUAGCAUACCGUUAGACAGCUUAGCCUGCUGCCUUUGUGGCCGACGAAGCUCAUGCUCAUGGAAGCCUUGCUUGCUAAGGCUGUAAGGCAGGGAGGGCCCGGGUGGGCAGGGCCAGGUCCGUGGCACACCCCACCUCCGCGCAUUGCGAAUUUACACAUCUGACAAUUUGCUGGUGUAUAAGAGCACAUAUGCAGAACGCCUCACUAAAAACCGAGUCCCCUAAGGGGUUGUUUCCACUUAGGAUUAUCGUCACGGAUUAGGGCUUAAUCCGUGGCAUAUGGAAACUGGGAUAAGCGACCAUUGUAUGAGCGCCUGUGUAGUUAGAUUACUGCACUGUAAAAUGCGAUCGUCCCUCCUACUAUAUAGGCACAGAUUGGGUGGAAAAAGGUUUGCUGCUCGGUGGAUUACCGCGUUAUACACCGUCUCAUCAAAAAACGGAUUGAUAGCUUGAAUUGUUGCCUUUUGAUAAAUCCUGUAAGUGUUCCUCAUUUUGUGAGAAGUUUUGCGCUUCUUGUUCGGCAUUAUGCUGCAUAAUGCCGAAUCAAUCGGUGGGCACUGCCACCGUGGGUGCUGCACCACACCGUGGGUGUCGUUCAAAGGCGAUGCAAGGCCCGCAUGUUGAUACGCAAUAGUCUUUUAAAUGUCCAGCAGUACUCAUUUUGCGUUUCAUGCACGGAAUGGCAGUUGUUGUACUGCAAUCCGUUCCUUAAUCCAGAACCUCCUGUGAAUUUGCGAAGGAUUGGUGCGCGGAUUUGAACACCUUAAAUCCGCGGUAUAAAUCCUAAGUGGAAACAUCCCCUAAGUGUGCAGGCAUUCCCACAGGGGACUUCCCGGGAAUAAAAAACUCACUCCUACCGCGCUGUGGCCCCAGAAGCUGCCCUAGGAAGCGUGUGUCCCGUCCCGGCCUCGUCGCUUCAGUGUGUCGGACUCUGCCACGAAGCCCCGCUCUGUGGGGCGCCGCUGCACCAGUUCGGGAGGCUGGACCUGAUGCACACAUCGCCACAUUCCGGACAUGACGCAAGACAGCAGGAAAUGUAAAAACUAGGGGGGCGGCAAAGAAUGGAUUACACGGACUAUGCCCGAAAAGGUCAUAUGCCCGGGGUUCGUCCAGCAGUAUGUCAUCCCGGAGCGGCGCGCCCGCGUCCUUACAUUCAACCGAAUUCAACAUCCGAGCGCGCACUCCCAUAUGGGCGUGUACUCCGCAAAAACCGAAAUGACGACCCGCGGUUUAAGGCCGUAGAGUGUUAGUAUGUCGCUGGCGGUGGGCGCGUUUCCCAACCGGUGUGCAUGGGGUCAACAGAAGCCCACCGUUAGCACCGUUAGCCGGUUAUCGGUUGUCAGUUAUCCACUAUCCAGCCGCAAAGAAAGCUGCUAAGUGCUGGAUCCAGCUCGGCUGCCAAGAACUGGAGGCUGCGGGAUCUUGGUCAUGAGCUUCUUCGGCCCGAGUCGCUCUCCCUCUUCGUAGACUCGAACAGGAUAUUACAGAGGGGGAUCCCAAAAUACAUUCACAUUCGCCGUGGGGAGCAGAAGGAAAGCGAAUCCUCCAACGGCCUCAGCUGCAAUCGCACACGCAGUGCCCCUCAAAGACGUGGCAUGUUAUCCAUCUACAUAAUCAUAAUCCGAAGCUGCUAUUCCUACAUAUAUUCUUAUGUGCUGAUUACUAUAUCUAUUUUUUCGACAAUAAGCUAAAAACCGCCUGCCCAGCUCAUCAGGUCUUCCUGCCCAGUCAGCGAGUUGCGAGCCGCAAGCCGCAACGGAUGUUUCCGUACGUACAGCUUGAACGUGCCCGCAGGUUGGCAUUACCAGCAGACUACACUGCAGCAAAGGUACCGAAACCAGUCGCAAUAAUGCGAUCUAGGAGUUGAAGGAAAAAACAUUUCGACUAACGGAGGGCCAUCUCUAGACGACCCGCGCAAUGCACACCGAGAGCACACAGGAUGAUGAUUAGGGCCCCCCCCUUAACAUCGCCACCUCACGACGAGCCCCAAUAUAUAAUAUAUAUAUAGAGAGAGGGUGCCAUAAAACCCAAGAAUCUUCGCAGCGCCCUUCCCGUCACCUACAUCACGGGUAUCGAACAGGUGUGACUGCAGUCAGUCACCCACCCACAUCGUCCAUCACGCAAUCCACCCCCCUCCCCAGCCGUACAUAUUCCUAAAGCUGUAGGCGGCCCCGGGCCAAUAGAGCCACGAACGGCAAAAAAGGCGCUCCUGCAAAGAAGAUCACGGUCUUUGCAGGUAUUCAGCUGCAACGCCAUUUGGUAUUAUUAAAAUAUUUUGCUGGUCGCCCACUACAUACGACGGUCGCCACAGCAGCAGCAUACCAGUGUCCCGUCCGAGCAAGAAGGUGCAACGCUACUCAGUUCUCCUGCCCCUGCCCCCCUCCUCCACAAUGUGACACCACCAGCCACACUUUCAGCCUUGCCAGUCUUUCGCCAGUCUCGUCCGCCACCACUGCAGUCCGUGUCAAAAGAAAACAUGUAUGGGAGAGAGAGAGAGAGAGUCUUUGCGUCAAAAAUCCUAGCGUCAAAUUUCAAUAUCUAAGGGUUUUCGGUCUAAAAUAAGUAACAUGCAGGCGAUGCCGCGCACAACAACCCUCUAUAUAUAACGCAACCCCCAGGUCUCCAAAACAACGGAAUAAGCCAAUACAUGAAUAAUCAGUCGCGUCACAGCAUAUAGCAUAGUCAUGCAUAGCAUUGCAUCGCCCGAAUGCUGCGAGAGUGCUUCAGUACCCGCUCCCUUCACAGACACAAGCAAGACAAGACAAGGCACUUAUUGGCAUACCUCGCCCGAAAAGAGGUGUCACUUGACCGCAGUGGCGUUAGCAGUGAGUUAAGCAAGCAAUCCACUUCAACAAAACGGAAAGCUACCGAAAGAAAAACACAAAACGGUUAAUGUGAGAGUGGAACGCGAUGUACAACACACAUCACACCGAACGAUAAAGCAGCGCAGGAAGGCGUGCUGCUGCGCCUUCCCGGCAACAACAUGUGUAUGGUACUAAGAAGUAAGCGCAAGGAAAACAAAGCCUAAGAGAACCAAGCAUAACAAAUAACUUAACACACACAAAGCUACUACUUUGUCCAGGUUGACAACCGAGGUUGAUGAUACUCAUUUGAAAAGCUACUGAUGCUGUUGUUGCUGCUGUUGUUGCUGCUGCCAAGCUUAUACCUUGGUUGCUCGAGCAUACGCUUCAGUUCAGCAACAUCGCAAACUGCCAUACAUAAGUUAUCCUUUGAUGUUAUCCCCUCCCCAUAUAUUCAUAUUCAUGUACCAAGCUCCGCCUCCUCACCAGCACCAACUGGAUGUAUCUUCUCGCCUCCGCCAUGCAGCUUCUGCACUUCUCGAGGUCUGGGAAGCUGCCCUCAGGAGCCACCUGGCCACCCUCCCGGCCCUUAACGGCCCCAACCGCUCUGCCGUACCUCCCUCGCCGCCAACCCCACAAACCCCGUCACCUCCCGGCGGCAGAAUGGACAAAGCAGCGGUCGCGGCGGCUUGCUGCUGCUCGGCCCCAGCGCCAUACGGCACAUCCGCUCCGCACACCGCCCGCACAGCCCGUGACCGCAUCCCGCCGGGGCCACGGCCUCCCGCUCAACAAAACACACACCACAAAACACUUCCUCAGACUCCUCCUCCUCCUCCGCUACAGCCUCCUCAAAUGUUCUCCUUUCUCCACCACCUUCCCUCAUGCUGGAGCCACCAACCACAACCGUGCCCAGCUGCAUUUGGGAGUUACGGUCGUUGCUAUUGGUGACGGGCGCGGGGUCCGAAGGGGAGGCGGCAACGGCAGUCCACAAAACUGCCGUCGGCACCUGUGACGGACCUGUCGCUGCAGGAAUACUUGGUAACUGAGAUCCCGCUUCCCUUUCCCCAGGAGUUUCUCCUUCCUGCUGCUGGUGGUGCUGCUGUGGCAGUAGCAGUCGCGGCGGCGACGGUGGCAGCAGCAGUCGCUGUAGCUCGCCCAGAAGCCGGGUCUGCAGCGCCGCAGCCGCAAUGGACGCCAAACUGGCAGGUCCCGUGCGAGCGCCCAUGCCGCCCCCGAAGGGUGGCAGAAGCGACAGUUGCGAAGGCGAGGAGGGAGAGGCAGCUGACCCGUCGUCGCUCCUUGAAGAUGCGAGGCCCAGAACUUCCUCGACAGGUAGGCCGGGGUGCAGGAGCGUCACCAGCUCCCGCUGUGUGGGGUGGUGAUGGGCCGCAAUCUGCGCGGGGUCGAGAACGGGGCCGAAGAGGAAAUGAGUAUAUUUGGAACGAGGGUAAGCCGGGUAACUAGGGUGGCAGGCAAGCAGUAACCCGGGACAGGGACGGUGGACAGCAUCAGCAGCAUCCGCAGCCUCCGCAGCAUCCGCAGCAAAGGAGCAACACUGCCGGCAGCAUAAAUUUAAUGGGGCUGGGUGGUGGGGCGCACUGCGCAGCUUUCACGACUGCACUGCACACAGGUAUAGUCACGUCGCGGCGGCCACCCGUUUCACUGCCUCGCGCGCAAUACGCCGCUAGCAACAGCUGCAAAAUCACACAUCAGGCUGUGUCAUGACAUUGGAUCCAAAGAUAGAACGCUGUGGGAGUGCACGCAAUAGACAAGGCUCCGUGGCAUUGACACCGUGAUCCCGCGCUGACGAGACUGCGUUGAUCCACUCCACUCCACUCCGCAACGUCACGCCCCCGUCCCCAGCCCCAUUCCCCCCGUGCACCCCACCAGCCCAGAACGUGCUGCUGGUACUGGUACUGGUGCUGGUACUGCUGCUGCUGCUGGUACUGGUGCUGGUCCUGGUGCUGCUGCUGCUGCUGGUACUGGUACUGGUACUGGUACUGCUGCUGCUGCUGGUACUGCUGGUACUGGUGCUGCUGCUACUGGUACUGGUACUGGUACUGGUACUGCUGCUGCUGCUGCUGGUACUGGUGCUGGUACUGCUGCUGCUGCUGGUACUGGUGCUGGUACUGCUGCUGCUGGUACUGCUGGUACUGGUGCUGCUGCUACUGGUACUGGUACUGGUACUGCUGCUGCUGCUGGUACUGGUGCUGGUACUGCUGCUGCUGCUGCUGAUGGUACUGGUGCUGGUACUGCUGCUGCUGCUGGUACUGGUGCUGGUACUGCUGCUGCUGCUGGUACUGGUGCUGGUACUGGUGCUGCUGCUGCUGGUACUGGUACUGGUACUGGUACUGCUGCUGCUGCUGCUGGUACUGGUGCUGGUACUGCUGCUGCUGGUACUGCUGGUACUGGUGCUGCUGCUACUGGUACUGGUACUGCUGCUGCUGCUGGUACUGGUGCUGGUACUGGUGCUGCUGCUGGUACUGGUACUGGUGCUGCUGCAGCUGGUACUGCUGGUACUGGUGCUGCUGCAGCUGGUACUGCUGGUACUGGUGCUGCUGCUGCUGGUACUGGUACUGGUACUGGUACUGCUGCUGGCUAACAAACACCAAGCCCCAACCCCCCUCACAUCCAUACCACUACAACCCUCACAGCACCCCCAGUACCACAGCACUCUUACACAGCCACCCAGCCACCCAGCUAGCCAGCCAGCCACCCACCCAGGCAGCCAGCCAGCACCCCGCCCACCCACCUGCCAGGGAAACUGGUGACCGUAGUUGGCACAACGCCGGGGAUCCCGCGUCCUGGCAGCGUUUCGUGACGAGGAGGAUCUCACGCGCUGGACCUGCGUUUGCGUUUGCGUUUGCGCGGUUAGUGAUACGGUUGGCAACACUCCGCGUUGCACGGCCCGGAUUUUGGAUGUAGAAUACGGUACGGGUGUAGGUUACAAUGAGACUCUCUGGGUUGAGACUAAGACGGGUGAGUGGUGGCUGGGUGUGUGUGUGGGUGUGUCGGUGGGUGUGUGGGUGCGGAGGGCCCUCCGCUUCUUAACACACAGCGGUACUGCAGGGGCUACCAGGUAGAGGGGCGCCCCUCCGCGUCUCCCCGCCGCUUGACUCCGACCCGGAAGUUGCUCAUCCUGGCUCCGAGCGCCCAAACAACACCGCCACCGAUACCGUCCCCUCCCUCCCUCCUCCGCCCCCUCUGCUCACCCGCCCCACCUGAAGGCCCCGUGGCCCCAGGCCUCCUCUAUACACACUUACAUGGUACAUCAGCAGCUGCCGUACCACCUCCACACUGCCCCUGAAGGCGGCGAAGUGCAGCGGGGUCGACAGCGCAUCGCAGGAGACGAAGAUGUCAUAGCUGUGGCUGCUCGUGGCGGCGUUGAUGUGGGGGUCGUGGCGCAGCAGCUCCUCCACCGCGGCGGGGUGGUCGAAGAAGGCGGCAUAAUGGAGCGCGGAGAGGCCGCAGACACUUCGGACGUCCACAUAUCUGUGGGUGGGUGCAUGCGGGGCGGGUGUGAGGUGCCGUGGAUGAUGGGUCGGGAAGGGGGGCCUCGUAUGAAUCACCGGUGGCAGUGCCACAUCGGCGGGCCACACAUCAUCGCCAUCAUCAUCGCCAUCAUCAUCAUCAUCCGACAUCAUCAUCAUUAGUCACCAUCAUUAGUCACCAUCAUUAGCAGCAGCAGCAGCAGCAGCAGCAGUUCUAUCAUGGUCAUCGUCAUCGUGGCGCACCUGACUCCCAGUCGCGCCAUAUCCCGAACCGCCAUGUUCUGCAGGAGCGCCUCUAUGCACGGCGCACUGCCAGACAUGGCGGCAUAGUGCAGCGCCGUGCGGAAGCCGCAACGGUCGCCGGCCCAUGGGUCAGCUCCCUACAUACAUACAGCCACACGUUACGAUCGUGGGGGAAUAACGCCAUUUCACAGUGCAGUCCAUGCACAUCUAGGCAUGCACAUCUAGGUAUGCGUGGGUGACAAAUAUGGGUGUAGCAUUAUUCUACGGACGCAAGACUACUAUAUGAAUUGACAUAUUGACGAGCUAGUGACGAGGUCGACGGGCCAGCCAUGACCCCGAUACUAACCACUGUUCACAUCCCCCCCGGCCCCUGGCCAUCAAGAUGUGGUUACUAAGCCACCUACAUAUCACCUAUCCAUCUGUAUGUCUGUCUGUCAGUCAGUCUGCCUACCUGCGCCAUUAGCAGUUUGACCAGCUCGGGACUGCCAGCCGCACACGCGCACAUGAGGGGCGUCUGGCCUGCGUGCAGGUAUGCAUGUACGUAUGUAUGUAUGUGUAAAGGGCCGGCACGGAGUUAGGCAAGCGGACAAGUAUCGGGGGGAAAACGACCGUGGGAAGUGCGGGGUACGGCACGGGCGGGAAUGGCUGUGCUGCAGCACAGCCCGUACGAGAACCAUUCACCUCGUCCGCGACAAAAGAGCUGCCGUCGUACGAGUUAGAAACCGCACCAGAGCCUCUCCCGCCACCAGCUGCACCCCAUCCACCCACCCACACGCACCCACCCUUGCAGUUCACCAUGCCCACGGCGAUGCGCACUCCCUCAGCAACCGAAUGGGGCAGCGGCAGGUCGUUACGGCGGCAGUACGGCUGCAGCGCCUCGCGUACGACCGACAGGCUAGCGCCGGACAGGAAGGACAGCAUCUGCUGAACCACCUGCGGUGGGGUGGGGUGGCGCCAACCAGUCCGUCAGUCCGUCUGUCAGUCCAUCGGCGGGACACCUCCCGCGAGUUCACCCGCAGGCGGAGAGGGGCGACAUCCGGCCCCCACGCGCAGGGCCACACCAGCCGCAUCAUGUCAUCCCUUGCGCGCACCUCCACUUGCUUCCGUUCGCAGGCGGUGUGCAACGGCGUGCCGGCAGUGCUGGACAGCACAGCCGUGGUUGCGCUGAGCAGCCAUGGACUGGUCUGCAGCUUGGAUUGCAGCACAUCCGGCCCGUCAACGGUCUUGAGGGACCGAUUAAGCUCCGCGACAGCAAAAGUGGAUGGACCGCAGCCCAUGGUCUCCCGCGCGAGCUUCGGGCGGUGGUGCGGGUCUCGUAAGUGGAUGGUUUGCAGUGAGACGCUGUGCCUUGUGUCCCCUGGCAGACAUGAGCAAUGCCAUGGGUGCAUGCUUUAACACAAGCAUACCGUGAAGGUUUACUAUUUAAACCCUGUCGGGUGACGGAAACCAGCGUUGUGUCAUGCCGUCCAGGGCAGCAGAUGUGCGCCAAGGUAAAAGUUGCAAUGCCCAGCGCAUGAAGGGUAUAAAGCUACACUGCAAUCAAACCUGGGACAUGUCGUCUUUAAGCUAGCCUGAGCCUCAGUUGCCAUCCUGCUAGCCAGCCAAGUAGGCGCUAAUCGGAUUGAAAGUGCUGGCACCACCAGCACCUAAGGACCAACUCGAUCUUUAGCAUGUGAUGUUCUAGUAUGGCAUUCAAAGGGGUCCUUGCGGUGCGCCUCAAUUCUGUGUACCAAUACAAGGGAGUUUGCCCCUGAACUCCUUCUUUACCCAAUCGUUAUGUUCACAAAUCCAAAAUGUAUCUCCCCAUGGCGAGAACACAUUAUCAUGGUUUUGGCUGUAAAUACUCCCAAAGCAUGACCCAUAUCUCUUAAUUGGCGCCAAGUUUAGCCCCGCACCUUCUUGCCCUUCAGAUAACAGCAACCGGCCAAGGGAAUAUGCCGUCCGACGACCGUUAGUGGUUCCAGUCAGUCCAGCGCACGCGGCCGAACCUUGCGGAAGAUGCCUUCAAUGGUGGCGGCUUUCACCAAAGCCAAUAGAUUUGUACCUCACGUUAGAAGUUAUAGAUGUUCUUAAAGAGGAUCAGUUAGUUUGGUGGUUGUGCGGAAGGAAUCUUGCCCACUUAUUCCCCCAAAAUGCACGUACAAAUGGUACUGCUACGGCAUUUCGUGCCCCCAAUCGCCAGUUUCAACGUUUAAUAUUUGCAGUUUUCUUUAUGACAUAUGCGGCCAUGGCCACUUGCAUACAUGGCUGAUUGUUUAUCGGGAAUGCAUUUUCACAUUUCUGCCAACGUCACGUCCUACGUAGUAUCUAUGGGUGCCUUGAAGAUCGCUGUUCCCGCUUCCAUGUGGAACAUGUUGUCGCGCUUCAUUCAUUCUGAAGCCAUAUGGCUUUCUUUCGUCCCCGCCGCGGCUCCUGUCUCGCCUUGCUCAGCCAUCCGGAAAGAAUUAAGCGGUGUAACGGAGCAUAAACCAUUGCAACUCGAAGCGUAUAGGUAUUCUAGCAUACCGCAUGACAUGCAAAACACAGCGGCCAGCCGGAACACAGCAAGUCCCUGCACACGAGCUAUCGGGGAACCCUUCGUGCAUAGAAUCAAAGAAAAGGGAUACGUAAGGGUAAAAAGUAGCUUUUUGAUUUUCAGGAUUGCCGCAUUGGCAUCGCAGGCGCCAAAUAUCAUUGGGUACCCUCUAGCAACAGGACCGCCUCCAUUUAAGUGGAGGCAGCAAUCCUGCUGAUUGCUGCCUCCCCCAACCCCCGCAGCCCCCAUGGCGGGAGUGACCCCCAUAACCACCUCCAGAGCUACGCUGUGCUUUGGAACCGAAGUCAGCCAUGAGGAGGAACCCACCAUAUGGCUGCACAUGCGCUGGGGGUUCACCGCCAGGAAAUGCUAAUCUAACGGACAUGUCUGCUACUGCAGGCGCAUACAUACAUACAUACCCUUCGGAAUCGGCAGCAAUCGCCAGCAGUCUUGUAAUCAUGGCCCCACGCCCCAUGCAGGGACUCCAUGCAGGGACUCCAUGCAGGGGGAACUCUCCUGGAUAUAAAAUGGCACUGGAUGGAGUGAACGACGACGUGCUGUCUUAUAUAGCUGUAUAGGUGUAUAGCCCUCAUCGUGUCGUGGGUGUGGACUCUGCAUGGAGCUGUUUUCUCUCCUAACCCGCAUGGUGGGGUAGGAGAGAGGAGGAAGGGGUAGAUGGUUGGCACGCCUUGGCGCUUGGCUCCACCCUUGUAGCAAGCUGCCCCCGCGCAACAAUUCCCCAAACAUGAACUUGGCGCACUUUGGCAAUGGUCAUUCGCAGAGUGUGACGCAAAGUAUGACGCACGGUUCGUUUGGGGCAGUUUGGUACAGUUUGGGUCGCUUGGGACCUUGUUAGAAACUGAUACCACACGUUUCAGUACCUGCAUCCCGCCGGGCACCGCACAUGCUCACGUUGUACUGUACCUGCUACUGUGCCUCCUCGUGGCUACUCGUGGCCGCAUUGGAGCACUGGAAUGAUGGGACCAGGUGCAACGGUGUUGUGCGCAGCACGGACCAAAGACAAGUACGGUGGUAGUUGACUUGACUUCACACACACAUACACCGGAAACGGGUUGCGAACCCAAGCUCGGAGCCCAUAGGCCUGGCCCUUCGCCUGCAUUUAAUGGCGUCUUAAGUAAUAGAAAGGUAUUAUUAUUUAUGGAGUUUUGAUGCGUUUCGUGGAAAUCUAGAGACCGUGCUGGUAGAGAAAGGAACAUGGAUCUGACUACAUAACGCUUUUCUUGCGUAUGACAAAUAUAACAGUGUUUCUAUGUCAGACGCCACCCUUUUGGCGGUACGAAUACAUAGCAGGCAUUAGUAAAGAAUCUUUAUAAGAUUUUAAUGCUAUACUGACUCAACAGCUUCAACUCAAAUGUGUCUAUUAGCUUACGUUAAAACGAGCGUGUUAAUGUACAGGGAUAGCUAUCGACCUUUCCUUGUCUGUUGCCUCAAUGACGACCGAACAGCCACCUGCCCACAGAGAACGUGAAAAGUUCUGUUGAGCGGACACAAACAGCAACAGUGUGUAUCGUUCGGUUUGACUAUCUUUGUCAAUGUUAAUGACACCUAUGGAUGUGACUGAGCGCUAAUUGGCGGCUGCUGCCGCCCUGUAAACGUUUCUUUUUGGGGACUUUAGUACGACUAGCGGUAAGGAAAUUUUGCUGAAAGUGGCGGAUUUCUUACAGCUGUUCGCUCGAAAUAGCUGCGAUGACUCGAAGUGCGGAAUCCCCCAGCUCCUCCAAAGUGCGAGGCCUUUCCGACAUCGUUCGACUCACGUAAAAAGUUUAAUUUUAACAAGUCUUUGUUAGGGCUGUGGAAUUCUAAUCUUUCUUGGCAGCAUUUUGGGAGAAUUGCCGCUGCGUCAACUUUUGCCUCGGAACACGUCGAGCAACUGUGAGCCCUUUUGGAUGCCCACAAGUAAUGCCUUGGUGCUUGAAUCUUUCCUGAUCAACAUGUUUACGUUCCAAUUAUGCUGCAUAAUAGAAAACGUGCUCCUUGAUGCCAGGUCACCUGCUAAGCAACGGGCAAUUUCGCGGACAUACAAGUAUCAACCUCCUGUCCCAACCCGCAUCAACCUCAGCCCGUCUGCCAUGGGCUGCAGUCCAUCUACAUUGGCCGUGGCGGCGCUAAAUCGUUCUCUCGAGACCGGGGAAGGACCAGACGUGCUGCAAUCCAAGCUGCAGACCAGCCCAUGGCUGCUCAGCGCAACCACGGCUGUGCUGUCAAGCACUGCCGGCACGCCGUUGCACACCGCCUGCGAACGGAAGCAAGUGGAGGUGCGCGCAAGGGAUGACAUGAUGCGGCUGGUGUGGCCCUGGGCGUCUCCUCAAUCUCUUGACCUCCUAGCCGCUUCACACUGUCAAAUAUUUCCCCCGCGCACAUGGCUCCUACAGAAAUUCAGACAGACAGACACACACACACACACACACACACACAGAAACUCAGGCACACACACAUACAUACAACAGUAUACAAGGUCAGGCACUACUGGUAACGCACACACCGAUGCCCCCGGAGGUUCCGGGAUCGAGACCUGUCAGGGUCGGAAAAUCCUUCCGAUGGUGGAAGGUAAAAGUGCCCCCAAUCGAUGGACGGUGGUGACCUGGGAUAAAGUUGAUCUGCGAGCUGACCAGGAAUGGAGUUGAGCCGCCGUUGAUCCGGCAGAUUCCGUUGGAUGUCCCACAUGUGGGGGCCGGAUGUCGCCCCUCUCCGCCUGCGGGUGAACUCGCGGCUGGUGUCCCGCCGAUGGACUGACAGACAGACUGACGGACUGGUUGGCGCCACCCCACCCCACCGCAGGUGGUUCAGCAGAUGCUGUCCUUCCUGUCCGGCGCUAGCCUGUCGGUCGUACGCGAGGCGCUGCAGCCGUACUGCCGCCGUAACGACCUGCCGCUGCCCCAUUCGGUGGCUGAGGGAGUGCGCAUCGCCGUGGGCAUGGUGAACUGCAAGGGUGGGUGCGUGUGGGUGGGUGGGUGCGUGUGGGUGGGUGGAUGGGGUGCAGUUUGUGGCGGGAGAGGCUCUGGUGCGGUUUCAACUCGUACGACGGCAGCACUUAUGUCGCGGACGAGGUGAAUGGUUCUCGUACGGGCUGUGCUGCAGCACAGCCAUUCCCGCCCGUGUCGUACCCCGCAUUUCCCACAGUCGUUUUCCCCCGAUACUUGUCCGCUUGCCUAACUCCGUGCCCGCCCUUUACACAUACAUACAUACGUACAUACAUACCGGCACGCAGGCCAGACGCCCCUCAUGUGCGCGUGUGCGGCUGGCAGUCCCGAGCUGGUCAAACUGCUAAUGGCGCAGGUAGGCAGACUGACUGACAGACAGACUGACUGAAAGGCGGGGGUGGGGGCGGGGUGGGGGUGGCGCAGUAGUCCGUGUGGGUAUCGGCUGGGCGGGUAAUGGUGAGUGGCUGAGGAGGGAGGGGGAGGGGAGGGGAGGAUUCAGGAAAAAUGCGGGUUUUGAAGAUGCGGCGCAUGACAUGCAUGUUACGCCAGGCUGCCAGACAGACAGACGCAGGGAGGGAAGAGGAGAGUUAGUUAGCCAACCAACCAACCGACCGACCGACCAUUCAGUUAGGAAAGGGGGAUAGAAGGGAAGGGGCGUGAGAAAGGGAAAGUUAAAGAGGGGAAAACCCCUGGAAUAGGAAAUAGGUCCUUCUAGUUUUGUACUUGUGGCCUCAUGCGCACCUUCUUACCAGCGGAAUUGAGGAAUCUUUAUCCUGCCGUACAUGCCGUACAGGGAGCGGACCCGUGGGCUGCAGAUCUGUGUGGUUGCCGUACUGCGCUUCACUACUGCGCUAUGGUGCCUGGCAGUGCCCCCUGCAUAGCGGCGCUGCUCGGCAGUCCGUCGGGCCUGACACUGCCGCCUGGGGCUUCGGAGCCCUCCCGGGCGGGAGUCAGGUCUGUGAAGGGGCGUGUAUAGCGAUAUGGACACCAAGUAGACAGACAUCUGUCGCAUAGAUAUAUUUCUAAAUAAUAUAUUUAAUAUAAAUUAUUUAGGAUUUCCACACGCGCGUUACGAUCGCAGGCAGGUAUACAAACCACACAGGCAUACGUGUAUUUAGGUAUGUAUGUAGGUGACUGUACGUGUGCGCAGAUAUUUCUUGGGUCGUUGGCUGCAUGAAUGCAUGAUGACGUGCUGCAAGAGGAAGCAAGCUCGCAUGGCGACCAAGGUGGUGUCAGACGUCUAUGUACGACUGUGUACGACUGUAGAGGCGGCGGCACUGGAGGAACAGCGUGACCCCCCCCGCAGACAGCAGUGUGUAUGUAACGGCAACAUGGCAACCUUACAAUCCUUGAGUUGCCUAAUCAGGCAGCACCACCCCUCGCUGGGCUGUGGUGGUGGUGCUGCUGUUGCUGCUGUUGCUGCUACUGCCUUUGUGACUAGCUGCAGCUUGAGGACGCGACCGGUGUGAUCAGCUUCGCUCCGAAUCAGAAUCACUGCAUACUGCAUACACAUCAUUUUGUGGGGAUUUUUCGUAACCCCCUCGACACCUUUCCCCCCUCGCGAACGAAGUGCUUAUUUCUGCAAGCGCCACACACACACACACACACACGUCCUCGUAAAAAACCCAUCCAACAAGCCAUCCCAUCCUGUCGUAUCUGUCGUACAGUACGACAUACAUUACGAUAUGCAAAUACGCACUAACGCUCAUUACUCCCAGCAUUUCGCGGGAGGCCCUUCAGGCGGCUUUGGCUACAGCUACACCACCCUGCACAGUCGCUCAUCUGCCCAAGCGCGUGAUCAUCAACCACCUGUCAACUGACUAACUAACUGUAUGAUGCAUUAUCAAUUCAAUCCAAAAGAUAUAUAAUUUACAUAUAUGCACAACCUAAGUACAUGGCCACGUGCACAACUACGAGUUGAUACCAUAUGGCAUGUGCGGCAGAUGUACGAACGUAUGUAUGUGCAUAUGGUACAGUACAAUACAAAUCGCACCACGUUGCCCGCAUAACUACAUAACUACACAACGACUUACAUAACGACUUACAUAACGACUUACAUAACGACUUACAUGCGGCGCCGCGCCCCCCAUGAAGGUACGUCAACGUCCGCACCAGCAGCGGCCUCUCCGCGCUCCACUAUGCCGCCUUCUUCGACCACCCUGCCGCGGUGGAGGAGCUGCUGCGCCACGACCCCCACAUCAACGCCGCCACGAGCAGCCACAGCUAUGACGUGGACACCUCCUGCGACGCCCUCUCCACCCCCCUCCACUUCGCGGCUGUGAGGGGGAGUGUGGAGGUGGUACGGCAGCUGCUACGACACCAUGUAGGGGGGCCGGGGGAGGGGGAGGUAUGGUGUCUAAACACCUGUCCUAAUCUAACGGGUGUAGCGCUGUAGCCGCACCUGCCGUACCGCAUAGAUCGCGCUCCCAAUCUAUCUAUUUAAUUAUAUAUUUAUUUAUCUAUCUAUCUACUUGCCGCCUCCUCAUUCCCCUCAUGCCGCUCGGUGCACGGACUGACACAUACAUACAUACAUACAUACAUACAUACAUACAUACAUACAUACAUACAUACAUACAUAAACACGCACAUUUCUGUCGUCAGGUGCUGCACCCCACCACCCCCGGAGGCACGCGAGCAAGGGACCCCCGGCUGAGAGCCAAUCACGGACACAGAACUCCCUGGCAGGUGAGUGAGUGUUGGGGCGUCUGUCUGGGUGUGUGUGCAUGCUAACUACCUGCCGUACAUACACAUACAUGCAUACAUAUAUACAUGCACCUCCAGGCAGGUGGCUGGCAGAAGUUGAGGCCUGACUUCUGCUCCCGGAGGUUUCGGGUUUAAAUACGCUUGCCGACCCCUCGGUGUGUGAGGGGUGUUGGAAUGGGAGGUGGCCCCCCAUCUUGUGGACGGUGUAGGACGUGUUUAUAGCAAUUUGCGACCUGACCAGGAACUAAGUUGUGGCGCCUUGAUCCGCUAGAUUUGGUUGGAUGCUGGUGGUGAGUUGCUGAAACCAACGAAUACAUUCUGAAGUCGGAUGGGGUGAAUGGAUUAGGGUGCCCCUCUCGCAGGGGAGAGCAAGGAACUGCCCCAGGAAAGGGGACCGCUGGUGAAGCUAUACCACCCUGUAACAACAUACUAGUCCCUAUAGGCUGGCUGGCUCUUGCGCAAGCUGCUGCAGUAGCAUGCACUAGCCCCCGCCUGGCUCUUUCUGUUCCUCGCAGCCUGCCAUCCUGCAUGCUGCUACUGCCGCUACUGCAUGCUGCCGCUGCCUGUUCUUUUCCCCCUGCACAACCAUCCCUGUCCCCACUCCCACUCCCUCUCCUCCCCAUUCCUGCUGUCGUAACCACCCCAACCACCUGCAUCAACCCCCUGCCUCGAAUACACUUCCCGCCGCUGGUUAUUGCCUGCCACCCUACUUACCCUACUUGCCCUCGUUCCAAAAUCACUCAUUUCCUCUCCGGCCCCGUUCUCGACCCCGGCGGCGCAGGUCGCAGUGGACCACCACCCCGAACAGCGGGAGCUGCUACAGCUGCUCCACCCCGGGACACCACUGGAGGAAGUCGUAGAGCUCCUCGCGGCUUCAGGGACGGGGGCGGCCGCUGGUGGGGCUCCCUCUUCAUCCGCCUCUGCUUCGCAGCAACAGCUGUUGCCGCUAUCGCUUCUGCCACCCUUCGGGGGCGGCAUGGGCGCUCGCACGGGACCUGCCAGUUUGGCGUCCAUUGCGGCUGCGGCGCUGCAGACCCGGCUUCUGGGCGAGCUACAGCGGCUGCUGCUGCCACCGUCGCCGCCGCUGCAGCUGCUACUGCAGCAGAAGCAGCAGCAGCAGGAGGGGUGUACUGUGCAGCGUGGAGGGGAGGCGGCAGCUGGGGAGGGGGCCCCAGCCCAGGAUCACACCGGGACGACGCUGGCCGCCGCCGCCGCCGCCUCUGCCUCCGCCACCGCCGCCGCUGCCGCCGCCUCUGCCGCUGCCACCGCCGCCGCUGCCGCCUCCACUGCCUCCGCCACCGCCGCCCCCGCCACUGCCGCCGCCUCCGCCAUCGCCGCUGCCGCAGCAGCGGGUGGUGGUGGCCGUGACGUGAGGAAGGCGGACAGGGCGGGGCUAGCGACGGGGCAAGAGCAUCAUCAUCAACAGCGGGUUAGCUGUACGGCUUCGGCGCUUACGAAAGGCGCAACCAGCAAUAGCAGUCGCAGUAGCAGUAGUGCUGGCAGCAGUAGUGCUACUGCAGCUGCUGAUUCUGAAAAUAAUGUUGCCAGCACGAAUACUACCACCACCGGCGGCGGUACUACCAGCUCUGUCCAGGAGCCCGAGACGGUGAGUCAGCAGGCGACCACAGCACCGGGCCUCAAGACCGUCAUCACUUCAACAACACGUGCCUCGAAUCCCACCACCAUCACCACCGUCACCACCACCGUCACCAGCAGCAGCAGCUCCCCGCAUGUGCUACAGCUAGGUUCCAAAGCGGUCACCGGCAGUAGCAGCGGCAGUAGCAGGAGCGAGGCCCGGGCUACGGGCCCCGUUGGGGAUGUGGAAGUUAGAGGGAGGAGAAGGGGGAAGGGGGCACUUGUGGCGGAGGCUGUAGAGGAGGAGGAGGAGGAGGCUGAGGAGGUGUUUUGUGGCGUGUGUUUUGUUGAGCGGGAGGCCGUGGCCCCGGCGGGAUGCGGUCACGGGGUGUGCGGGCGGUGUGCGGAGCGGAUGUGCCGUAUGGCGCUGGGGCCGGGCAGCAGCAAGCCACCGCGACCGCUGCUUUGUCCAUUCUGCCGCCGGGAGGUGACGGGGUUUGUGGGGUUGGCGGCGAGGGAGGUACGGCAGAGCGGUUGGGGCCGGUAAGGGCCGCUGCGUUGCGUGACUGGAUCCGUUUUGUGAUGGCGGAGAUGGCGCCAUCAUCAUCAUCAUCAUCAUCAUCAUCAUCAUUUUCGACUUUGAACGGAUACUACUGUAGAGUGGUGGACGUUCGGCAGCAGUAGCAGAAGCAGGAGGUGCGGCCGCAAUUCGAAUCGUCGACAGUAGUGAUUAUGUGCAUGUGACUCACACGUACCAGGCUUACGCUUACAGGCAUCCAUGCAAACAUGUUAGAAAUAUUGCGAGAAAAGUUACAAGGUAUUGCGGGGCGGAUAUCCCUAUCGGCUCCCUGUCUGCGACAGAGAUAUACAGAUGCAUGGAGAUAUAUGUCAUUGUUUGUCCUAAGUACGGAUUAAAGUACGGAUUGUAGUGCAUUACCGGAUUAAAGUACGGAUUAAAGUACGGACUGUAGUGCAUUACCGGUAUAAUUUUACUGUUAUAUACCGUUGCAUGAUUAAGAAGUUGUUGUUACGAGCCAGGAGUACGUGUCACGGAGCACCUCCCGCUGGGUGCGAUCUCUUGGUACGACUCUCCCUCGGGCAGCAGGAGCCGCACCUACCUGGGGGCCUAGGGGGCCGCUAUCUAUCCUAUACACGGUUCGUGUGUGAUGAGAGGCAUGCACGGUUGCAAGUAGCAACAACACGAAUCUGUUGUUGUUGUUGUUGUUACUGGACUUAGGGUUUUCAAUGUUAUUGUAUCCGCCUCUGGGGCGACUGCCGCCGGACGCACACAGCCGCCGCUAUGGCCGGUCGUGGAGGUGAGAAAAGCCCCUUGUUGGAGUCAGCUGCAGCUGCAGCUGCAGCUGUAGCCAAUGGCUCGUCCAGGGGGGCCCUCCACCCGGUAGUAGCCAAUAUGCAUUAUGCGAUUAGGAUGGUGACGUACCUACAAUAGUCUCUCUCCACUGCGCCUGCACCGCGUUGACCACGAUUUCAAACCGUGCUCCGAUCGUGUAGUACUAGAAUAUGAAUUUCCAAACUUUUCGCCACAUCGUUUCCGUACUGUUGAGCAAAGAUGAUGAUUUUCAGUGGGUCUGGGAGUUUCGAGGAUUGGUGUUGUAGGUAUCCUUGGAUGAAAAUACGGUCUAAUUAAUAAGCAGCAGCAAUGAAAUAAUCCCUAGUGCGACUCGGAAGAAUUUCCUAGUCGUUGUCAUACUUGUGUGUUUCUUAACGGAGGACUUCAGUAUUGUUGUGUGUAAUAACAGCCGUCACAACGCUACCACAACCCCGGCUUUUACGGACACCCUCGUCGUCCCCUCCCCGUGUGUGUGUUGAACCUGUAACUUGCAAUACCUUUUGGUGGCUGUGAGCUGCAGUUGUAGCCGUCCUUUGUAGAUGGUGGUGGCGCGUUACGAGGCGGUCAAUUGCUGAAAUGAGGACCAUAGAUAAAUAGAUAAAUAGAUAGAUAGAUAUGUAGAUAGAUAGAUAGAUAGAUAGGUAGGUAGAUAGAUAGGGGCAUGAUGAGGUCAAUCAGGAACCAUGGACAACGAACAAAACAGUUUCGGUUAGUUACAUAUAGAUCCGUAAUAACCAAUGAAUCCCAAUGUAAACUCGAGGAGGUGCAAAACCCUUACAAGUGCAAAGUAUAGCUGAGCUGCAAUCAAAGCCUGCACGACACGAUAACUAGACAUGCUGGUGGCUGCUGCACAUGCAGCAGCAGCAGCUGCUAUACUCUGCUAUACUGCUAAACUGCAGUAGAAUGCCUAACUAUCAAGUACCAGUAACAUCUCCCCCAUGCGACGCAAAGGACUGGGCUAUGUAUGUAUGUAUGUACCCCUCUCCAUUGUACCGGCUGGCAGCGGCCAGACAUACAGUUAUACAUGCUUAGAAAACUCGGCCGCGUUUACAUUCCGCCGUACAUUCCCUUCCAGUAGUACAUACAUAUAUAUAUCCGUACCUCGCGCGCCCGAAGCUAGCUUAGAACCAAUUUCACACACAGCACGCGCUACUGCGGGAGUGCGUGGUGAGGUGAGGCGAGGUGAGGUGAGAAAACGCCAAGUAGCUGGCCAGUUGGGUGCGACAUCAAAAGUCUUACACGCGCCCGGGUAUGGGUACAUGGACGUUCCCCCCGUGCGUAUAAACCUGAUCUACACAUGCGAGAGAAUCGCAAGUACGGCCGUAUUCUAGUACGGCCGCAUCGCGUCGCGGAUGCGGCGAACACAUCCUGCAUGUGUAAGUAGGAGGUCAAUUUUCCUCUAGCAUAGCGCAUACGACUGGCCAUCCUGCGAAAGGGCGUAAUGGCGUCCUCCUACACCUUAAUCAAUAAAGCGACGCCGGAGGCAAAUAAUCCUCUGCAGCUGUAGUCACUUGUGGUCAACCGCGUAAUGCGCACACCAAGAAGCGCCUGAUAUACUAAACCUCCAAUUAUCAGCCAGAAAUGAGGUAAACUAGCUAUUACUGUUGAUGCACAGCAGGGACCAUGGACGAAUACAGGUGUCGGGGACAAAUCAAUGACCACUAUGAUGCAAUCAAUCAUAAACCAUCAGCUAAUAUGUAAUAUACGAAUACGGCUGCCAUCUUAUGAUGAUCAAUUUUUUCGCAGCGAAUCAACCGCGUUUUGGCCAUUCAUUCAUGAGCUGUUGCCAAAAGUUCGAUCGGUAAUUAUAACCAUCAGCACGCAAUCAUCAUCACGCAAUUAGACAUGCACAGACAGAAAAUCACAAACAGAUACAAACAAAAAAACUACUUUAUUAACGCUAAUAUCUCCAGAGCGGAGUUGCAGACUCGCAGCAGCGCAGGGCUUUAGGUCUAAUAAGCUUUCUCCCCUCCGUCCACGCCAUGUCAGCAUCCCAGCCGUUUGUGCACCCAUCCAUGCACCAAUUAUCAUGUGCUGCCUGUGCUGCCAAAGGAACAGCCGUUUCUCGGCAAGGCACGCACCAUCUAUCUGAGUACGCCUGCACGCCGCACAUUUGGCGAUUCAGCGCAGCUACGCACAUAAUCCAGCGCUGAGUGUUGCACUAGAUAUUCGUCCAGCGAUUUUACCCUCCAGCUCUGGCCAGGCGCAAGCACGCGAGUCGCGCUACUCAUCCCGCGUCUGCUCCUCCUGCUCCUCCUCCCCCUCCGACGCAACAUGACAGCCAUACAUACGGGAAUACGCAUGACCAGACGCGCGACUUAAAAGCAUCUUGGCGUAUAGGACAGCACUUUUAGUGAAACAUGCACCUCUACCAACCCCCCACCAACCCACCAUCACCAGCAUCCCACUCGCGUCGCUGGGGCACCUCCCUCCCUCCCUCCCUCCGUCCACCUCUGCUUUUCUCGAAGGGGGAAAACCCCCCCAUUUGGAACGGUCUAGAAGUCUUCCACGCAUUCCACCGAAGGGAGCAAGAGCUACCAUUCGGAAACCCCCGGGGGGGGUCGAUUGGGAUUCGGAAGCGCCUUGCUUGAGACACAGAGAGAGAGAGUGUGUGUGUGUGUGUAGGUAGGUAGGUAGGUAGGGGGCGGGGCAUGUAGGUAUCCGCGCAAGGGCUCAAGCGAAGCCGCUGCCGUAGAUAGGGCAGCAGUCCUUGUUGCUGUUGAAGGUGCUCAAAAAGCUGUGAGAAUGUAGGUGGGUGGGUGGGUGGGGGAAGAGGGGGCAAGGUGGGGAGGGUAAGGUGAGGGGAAACGUACCGCAUGAUGCGCACACAGCGGCAGCCUCAGCUCUUUCGGCCUCAGAGUACGUGUAUCACACAAUGUGUACCACAUACAUACACACAUAUGUACGUAUACAUACAUAUAUACACAUCUGGACGUACGGAUGCAGCCAUGUACGGACGUACGGAAACUUGGGCAACUCACCACUGUGAGGCGAUGCCCAGACACAAGUCCGACAUGGUCUUGGGGUUCUUCACCUCCACACACACGCGGGCGCCGCUGGCUUGUGCGAUGGACCAAUUGAUGGGGGUGGCUGUAGGGGUGGAGGGGUGGGGGGGUGGAGGGGUGGAGGGGUGGAGGGGUGGAGGGGUGGGUAUGCUGUGUAGUUGUGACGCAUGGCAUGCAUGAGGUGGGAGUGAGGAGAUGGAUAGGAACUGGCAUCCGCGAGCCAUUGAAUGCAUUAGGAAAACAUUUCACUCGAGUGAAGCCACAUCAUUGCAACCAUAAAACAACAUUUGUGCAUAUCACUGGAAAGGUAAAGAGUUUUAGGGGUUUCGAGUUUUAAUGAGUUUAGGUUUCUCCAUUUUUGUGUUCCCCCCGCUUACCUUUCAGCGAAUUGGUACCCGCCGCCCCCCAGCUGGAUGAGCGCUUGACGAAGGGCCCACUCGCCGGGUAGAGGUUGAUGCCAGCCACCCAGGAGCUCAUGUUCUGGUCUGUGGGUAGUUAGGCAGUUAGGCAGUUAGGUACGAGGGUUAGCAGGUAAGGAGUGAAUAGUUAGAUACGUGGAUAGUCAGACAGACGGGUGGAUGGAUGGAACUGGAUGAAUGUUGCAUAUAGAGAUGUAGUGGUGGUAGAGAAGUAGUAAUUGGGUAAACAUCGCUCCGGGUGGGGGAACUUAGGGUUUUAGGGUUUUGGGGGGUGGGCGAGCACCAUGCCGGUGAAUACGUAAGCACACACACAUACAUACAUACACACACACGUACACAUACACACACCCCGGUAACAUGGGCAAGUGUCCCUUGUGAACCUCGUGUCCAUCUGGAGACCGCGAGAGCAGCAGCACCCUCCCUCCCUCUCUCUCUACACACACACACACGCAUCCCCCGCAUCCCCCCCACUUACUCGCAUACCACUCGAUCUUGGUCAGGGUGUCAUUGGCUGAGCCGCAAGUGUUCUGCGGACAUACAGACAUAGCUUAGGGUUUUAGAAUUGUAAACGUGGCUUUAUGCUUAUGCCUCAAAGUGAAUUUAAUACUUUACAAAAAUUAUGCAAGAAGGGGGUCAGAGUCAAAGCCUUUGAUGGGAUGGAAGCUAUUGAAUGUGGCGAUAUGGAAGUCCGCCCCACUCCAUUCUCUUCGUCUCUCUCUCCCCCUCGCCCUGUGCCCCCCAGCCCUCCUCUCUCCCCCUCCUCGCCCCCUCCUCUCUCCCCCAGCUGCCUCCGAUGUGCUACUGCCGCUGUACGGCUCCCCCACCUCACCAGCCGACCUCCCGGCCCCCUGUGGGUGUUUUGAACGCGCGCGCCCGGGCCCAUAUCCACACACACAUACAGACAGACGUGCGCACGCAUCCUCACCGGCAUAAUCUGGCUGGGGGGAAUGGUGUUGACCGUGAAGCAGUACUCGGUGGUCGUGGCGGUGCGAUUACCCGUAGUAAAGCGAGGGGAGACGGUGAAAGGCAGGAUGCCCUGUGUCGUGUUGCAUCUGCGGGUGGGUGGGGAGCCCAGUUUGCGUUGGUUCCGGAGCUUCCGAAUGACAAUGAUAAUGCAAAUCCCCCGGGCUCCCGGCUUUCGAGCCCACAGUGUAAUCAACGUCAUGCAUACAUACAUAUAUACAUAUACAUACAUAUAUAUACAUACGUACGUACAUACAUGAUAACCUUACGUGCAAUUCGGGAAGGGUGUGAACGGCAAGUUGCAGCUGACAGAUGAGAGCAGCGGCAAGCAGAGGUUGCCGUCCGUCGUAACUUGUACGGUGUAACCCUCCAACUCGGCACUGCACACGUUGCCUCCGCUGGCGGCCUCGAUCCAGUACGACAGCAGCCCCUCAGCCGUCAACUUGAAGUCCUCAGCAUAAACGGAUGAAGCGAAGACGCCGCACAGCCGUACUCCAAACCCGGNNNNNNNNNNNNNNNNNNNNNNNNNNNNNNNNNNNNNNNNNNNNNNNNNNCCCGCCCGCCCGUUUCUGGCGCAGCCUCGCGUUAGUUCCGUUGCGGUGUCUCUUCUCCGUUCGUAAGGCCCGUCUUCUUCGGGUCUCUCAGUCCUUUUCUCUCUUUCAUUAUUUGUAACAGAAAAUGGCAUUUACCUAUGGAGCAACAACUAACAAGACCUUCCUUUUGCGACGUCGUACAUUAGUGCGGGUCGUACACUGGAUGGCUACAUCUUCUCUGGUGUAUCGCAUCCGGUGUCUUUUGACACCACCAUGACUGGUUGUGAGAAGCCUUAACGUAACAUUGGCAUCGAGACGGUGAAAUCUUUCUUUCUGGGAUUAUGCUUUUUCGGCCAUUUCUUUCAUUUUAUCGUCGGUCGGCUUUAUCUACCGUUCUUCAAACUUCUUCACCUCCUUUAUCUUCUCCAAGAAUGAAUACUGGAGCUUCGGCCGAUCCGGCGGUAAACGCCGUUACUUCGCCGCUGGCGGCCUUGGCGCUUGCACCGGCGCCUACGGUCGCUUCGCCUGAUCAGCCUUCUGGGUCACAACCUCGGGCUGUUCCUCUUCCUACUGCCGUGGAUCCGGCGCCGCUUCCGUCGCCGGUCAACGGUGAUGCUACAAUGUCCGAUUCACAGCCGGGCACUGUUACUCGGCGCCUGCACCCCCUCGAUCCUCCGCAGCCUGACAGACGUCGUCUUGUUUCAGUGGACGCUGCGGCUAAAGUGCAAUUGAGUUUGCCCGACUACCUUUCUUUCUUGGUCGACGAUUUGGUUGGCUACCUCGACUUGGCAGGCUACACUCUUUCUGAUUCAGCUGCCACCAAUUGGGUCGUCUUAAGCGUGGGUCCGGCGUCUCUCGUGACAGAUCUUCAUAAAUCGCUUUCCGUGUUGACGCCGCCGGUGAUUCCCAACGCUUCUUGGCUUCUGAACUGGUUCACUGAAGCCGUUGUCUUGUCAUCCGGCGCCUCAUCUUACAUUGCGCUUUGCCGUAUGUUCAACACCAAACCAGUGCGUUCUGUGGAGCAAGCGCUUCAACAUCUGCACAAUAUUCGUCGGGAGCUGCCGGCUGCGACUCCUGAGGAGCUUAUCGUUUAUCAUCUGGUUCGUCUUUUGCCUGACAGUUUACGCGAUCGUCUCAUGUAUGAUCGCACUGUUGAAAUCCGACGACCAUGGACCAGCUUGGACUGUUUUCUUCGCGUAUUGAAGACCUACACGGANNNNNNNNNNNNNNNNNNNNNNNNNNNNNNNNNNNNNNNNNNNNNNNNNNNNNNNNNNNNNNNNNNNNNNNNNNNNNNNNNNNNNNNNNNNNNNNNNNNNNNNNNNNNNNNNNNNNNNNNNNNNNNNNNNNNNNNNNNNNNNNNNNNNNNNNNNNNNNNNNNNNNNNNNNNNNNNNNNNNNNNNNNNNNNNNNNNNNNNNNNNNNNNNNNNNNNNNNNNNNNNNNNNNNNNNNNNNNNNNNNNNNNNNNNNNNNNNNNNNNNNNNNNNNNNNNNNNNNNNNNNNNNNNNNNNNNNNNNNNNNNNNNNNNNNNNNNNNNNNNNNNNNNNNNNNNNNNNNNNNNNNNNNNNNNNNNNNNNNNUNGUCUGCGAUGGCUUCUUUGGCUGUGCAGAAUAAUCGUGAUUUGUGUGUCGCAGAACCUGUUGUUUCUGGACCAUCUGUGGCUGUGUCGGUUGAGCCGACGCCUGCGGGCGCCCGCAGGCGUGCCUCAGCGGCAAGCGCACAAGUCUUUGGUGACUAUGUCGAGUGCGCCUGUGAAGUUGUCAAACACAAGUGAUCACGUUGUGAAUCGUUCUCAGUCGGAACUGAACACGGCUUUUAACGUACGUCUGGUUACAGAGCCUUCUCGCUAUUGUAUACAAAGACGAACAGUUCAAUGCCGGUUGCAGAUGUCCCUCCGCCUCAAGAACUUUGCAUUCGCAAGCACGAAUUUCAGCACUUGCAGCAGCUUUCCGGUCGUCACUUCACUUGGGAUGCUUGCGCAUCUAACGAUGGGUCUAAUGCCUUGUGUCCGAAGUAUAGUUCGCCUUCUCGCAGCUUUUUGCAUGAUAGCUGCACAGGACAUCACGUUUGGAUGCAUCCGCCUUGGGCUCGUAUUCAAGAUUUCUUGCGUCACUACCUGCGUUGCAAGUCGAUUGCGCCAUCGACCAUGUCUGGAGGAUUUUUGCUUCCUAAGUGGGUUACAGCGCGUUGGCGUCCUUUGCUUGCAGGCAUGAAAAAGCUUCAUGAAUACCAUGCGGGGUAUCACCUGUUUUCCGUGUCGUCGGGGUAACAUGUCUCGCGUGCAAUCAGCUUUCUCGCCAAUGGAGUUCUGGUAUGAUGCUCCUGUCGAGUCUCCUUNNNNNNNNNNNNNNNNNNNNNNNNNNNNNNNNNNNNNNNNNNNNNNNNNNAUCUGCCGAUGGCUGAGUUCGCCAUGAACAAUUCGUUGCAUGAGUCUACGCGAACUACUCCUUUUCGGUUGAUGUACGGAUAUGAACCCCUAACUCCGGCUUCUCACCUGGUUCGCAAAUUGGGGGAGGAGAGGGCCAAGACGCGCUUGCAAAGCGUGGCCAAACUGUCUAAUCCGUUAUCUGUUAAAUUCAGUACGGAUAUGCAGAAUGCUUUGGAACGAGCUAAGUCUUGCUUGGCUGCUGCUCGAGAUCGGAUGAAGAAAUGGGCUGACAAAGGUCGCUCGGAACGAGGACUUUCUGUUGGUGAUCGUGUACUCUUGAGUACGAAACACAUGACUAUUAAAGGUGUGCGCAAAUUGCUGCCUCGCUUUAUCGGACCCUUUGUGGUUAAGGAAAAGAUCAACGCGGUUGUGUAUCGGUUGGAUCUUCCUCCUGCGGUGCGGAUACAUGAUGUAUUUCAUGUGUCACUCCUUCGUCCGUAUCACGAUGGUGAUCGCGUUCAGCUACCUCCGCCACCUCAGAUUGUUGAGGGUGAAUUGGAGUUCGAAGUUGAGUCCAUUUUGCUUCACAAAGAAGUGAAAGAAGGACGUCGACAAAAGCGUUUCUACCUAAUGCGUUGGAAAGGUCAGGGCCCGGAAUUUGAUUCGUGGGAACCCGAAACGAACCUAACUAACUGCGGUGAUUUGUUGCGCGACUACUGGGCACGUCAAUCUGAUUCAGUUCCAACCUCGAAGUCCCAAGGUCAGGCGACACUUUCGGGUGACGCUGACGCUUCUGGCUCGAAGCCGCAUCGAGCUCCUCAGACUACUCGUCACGGCCGUGUGAUCAAAAAGCCUUCGCGCUUUAAUGCUUUUCUCAACCACUUGUCUGUCACCAGUGGGGUUCCGGAAGCCCUGCUUUUUCCUCUCGUGUGGCGGUGAAGCCAAGGUUGGCUGGCUGUCGGGACGACCAGCCAUUUAGGGGGGGAAUGAUGUAACGUGCAAGAGCAGUUACAUAACUCUCAAUGCUUCUCUUCAACGGGGUUCACGUAGCUAUUCUCAAGACCUUCCUUUUGCGACGUCGUACAUUAGUGCGGGUCGUACACUGGAUGGCUACAUCUUCUCUGGUGUAUCGCAUCCGGUGUCUUUUGACACCACCAUGACUGGUUGUGAUAAGCCUUAACGUAACAGUAGCGCUUUCGCAACCGAUGCAAGGGCUGCUGAGCUCCGAGGUCCAACUACUGUUUAAGAUCUAUAGUUGUGAGCCUCCUUUCUGCUGACCGCUCGUUCGUGCGUUGCGGUGUUGGAUGCGAGAGUGCUGAAGCACAACAAGGUCUGAAGGACGGCUACACGCUGUAUGCUGAGGCAGGGUUUACGUUUGACCGAAGUUUAAGAGAGGUCAAGUUCUUGGGCUCAGUUCAGCAAUGUGCAAAUGUCGCCCGCAAUGGGGACGGCGUCAGUCCCAAAAAAAAUUGCGGAUUUCUGAACCUCAACACCUUUGAUGCGUAUUAUGGCUGCUUGCAUAACAAAUUGCGGGAUGCGAGGCGAAGUGCAUUCUUACGUACUUCUGAAGUCGCAAGUCGCAAGUUGCCAACUAACUCCAGGGUGGGGCUCACUCCCGCCCGGCCGUCAGGGUGAUGGAUUCAGCCCCCGGGCGGGGUACCGAUUGCCGGAACUUCGGAGGUUUCGGAGCGGAAAGUGAGUCUCUGGUCUAAGCGUGCAUCUCUACUGUCAAUUUGUCAAGCAGCAGCUUGGAUGUGGUCGCUGGUCUGAAGGAGGAGGGUCAUACGUAUGAUGUUAACAGUAACUGUGGUAUAGAGCUACUAAUUGGCGAAAUGGAACUGGCGUCCUCGCCCCCCACAGAAAGCGGGGCUUGCCGAAUGGAGACCAUGUCUAAGUAGAUCUGGACCCUGAGUGCUGCUGGCAUUUGCUUCAAUUGUGUAGGAGGCCACAAGGUCGCCAGAGCGUGCUCACAGUGAACCUGUACUGCGGCUGCGAAAAAGUUUCCGAUUUUUAGCCUUGUUGCGAAAUCUCGCGAAGCCCCCGGUAUAAUCUCGAAAACCUCGAAAUGCUGCAAUUUGUUAUGUCUAUGGCGAAUGUCAUAAAUGGACCUUAAACGCCUCAGGUCACACAGGAAGAGAAUUGCAUCCUUUGUGACCUAUAUGUCUUUUGCUUGCAAGGGUUGCAACUUGUAUUCGUGGGAGGGGGCUACAAAGGUUUAGGGAAGUGUCACGAUAUUAUGCUUGGGCGUGGUCUGGCUCCUGCAUGGUAUCCUGGUUGAUUUUGCGAAUUGCAUCACAUACAGCUUCACUGCUAAGCAGAAGCCACGAUAAGUUUUACGUAGAUGGUUUUACCCAGGACCGGUACUUGUUGCAAUUGGUCCGCAGGAAACACUUUCCUAGUUUCUUUCUAGCAAUUUCCCUGCCCUGCAUUAGCUCACUUCGCGCACUUUCGUGUGGCUUCCAGAGAUGCAUUGCACCCUCCGGUUCCCGAAGCUCCUCCGCACCGAUAAUCGGGUUUCAUCUGCUUCACCAUCGAAUCCAUCUCGAUGUCAGCUGGCGCCUCUGUCGUUUCUGGCAGGGCAUCUUACGUGCUCCUUUCGAAGCAUGUCAGCCCUGGAUGUCUGAUGGUUGUGGUUUUGGGGGCGGUUGCUGCGGCGGAGUGGAACAAUGAACUAAACAGCGACGGGCGAUGUGUUCUCAACGCGGUCAAGGGUGGUGGAUCAGGGUUCGACACUGACCUUCCUGAAACUUGCGGGCUCCCCCGUACCUCCCGAAUUUUCCUUACGGAGGGGCCCCCGUACCAGGCUCCUGUACCAGCCGAAAACCUUACAGGGCACCCUGUAACCCCCGCAAAACCUUUAGGGGGGCACUGUCCUUGGAUAAAACGCUGUGGAAAGUGACGCUUUGCAUUUUUUUGCCCUAUAAAUCGUUAUUUUCUCGUGAACCAUUACACUCGGGGACACGGCACACUCAGCGAAAGNNNNNNNNNNNNNNNNNNNNNNNNNNNNNNNNNNNNNNNNNNNNNNNNNNGGCGGUGGUGGCGGUGGUGGCGGCGGCGGCGGCGGCAACGGCGGCGACGGUGACGGCGGCGGCGGCGGUGGUGACGGCGGUGGCGGUGACGGCGGCAACGGCGGUGGUGGCGGCGGUGAAGGUGGUGGCGGAUUGUAACCAAUAACCGUCGACACGGGGCAGCACUGACACGGCGUGUCGUACAAUGCCGCCGUACAUGUUCCUUUCAUGGCGCCUGGCUGCGUCGCGCACAUCUGGUCCAGCGUGGUGCAGCCCUUGCCUUGGCGGUUGGCCUUGAGUGUGAGGCACAGCUCCGCGUCCGCGGCGGUUGCGAGUGUGAGAUCUAGGCGGGUAAGACGCAGGAUUGCUGUACCCGCGCGGCCGUUGAUGGGCCUGUCGUACGCGGCACCCACAGUCGUCGGGCGGCCGUUAAUAGUGGCCUUGACCUCCGCUGCCGGAGUGACGAGGCAGCUGUCGGAAACAUUGAACUGGGAGAAAAAGGGGGAGGGGGGAGAGUGUUUUAAACGUGCGGGACAAAGGCUCUGGGAUUUUAGGAAAUGAAAGCAGUUCAGGAGGAGGGGGAGGAGAUAGAGCUAUCGGGGGAAGAAAUGAUAAAGGGCGGAUGGCCGGACGAGGACAGAGUGGAUGGGGGCUUGACCCCAAGGAAAGCAGGUGGGAGGACAGGCAGAGCUAGUCCAUGUCCGACGGCCUUUGACGGACACGCUAGCAAUCGUGCGGAACUUGUGACUUGUGACUUGUGUGUGUUUGUUUGUUUGUGUGUGUUUGUGUGUGCAGCAGCAAGGCAGUGGGUAAGCCUCAAAUAAGGAUUGGAUCCAAGUCCUCUUGGAUUUCGGAACCGGACUGGACUGUGAAUACUGAAUUGAUACAACGUAAAUAAGUUAUACUCAACGAGAUGAGGAAACAGGAUAAUAAUCUUGAUUCAUUUCGCGAAUGAAAACGCGGUUGACACCAUAUAUCAUUUUGCACAGAUUGGCAGGGCAUUGUCAGCAAGGCUUCAAAAGAGAUGCGAAAGUCAUAUGCAAAUAUCCACUUGUGUGAAUUCGUCGGGUCGUGUCCAAAAGAUUUGAUUUGCUUAGCACUAAGGAGUCACGCGAAUGUUGCCAAUCUUUGUGCUGCCAUAGCGCAAUACUAAGAAAUCGGAGAUUUCCAAUCCUACCUCAAUCUUGAAAAGGUCGGUGGAGCAGCAUGCGUUGUUGCAGCCUUGAGUUUGGACUUUGAUGGUAAAGCAGUACUUGCCGCCACCGUACAUUUUCACUUCGGGCGCCAGGCGAUACGCGCCGAUUUUUGACGCGCACUCUCGGAAAGGAAACGCUGGAAGGAGCCCGGUCUGGUCACGAAGCGCAAUAUCGUAGUCAUUCCCCGAAUCAUAGUACUGCGCAUAUGCAGCAGUCGACCUGCAAGCGCACGCGAAUCAAAUGUCAGGAUUUUAUAGAGAUAUAUUUUAAUGCACAAGUUCUGCAAAGAGGUCCAAGGUAUGUAGCGCAAGCCAUCCCGACGCUGCAAAUGUUCGUUAUGGCCGGCGAGCUACCGGCGAUGGCUAGGGUGCCGUUGCACAAGAAACAGAUCUUAAAUUUAGAUGAUAAGCUCUACACUCAAUGUUCAAAAUAUUGCAAAAUUCAUGUUGCUAUGCGGAAAGAAGGCUUCUAAUAAGUCGUAUACACCGCUGUACCUUAGCCCUGCCUGCCUACCCACCAGACAACGGCCAGAGCGGCCACAAGCAAACUCCUCGAUAUACGCGCCAUGGCUGUGAGAGAGCUCACGCUGUGAAGAAAACUGUCUGAACUACCGCCUAUUUAUGGAAGCGGCGUUGUGCGGCGGCACCAUCGGCUCAUCAGUUGACGUACCGCUUCCCUCAUGCAUCCGCGCGUUUGCGGUGGGCGCGCCAGGAGCAGAUUCAGCAGAGUUCAGGUUCCUCCCCGAAUCCCCAAGACUGUUGCAAGGCAGUAAAGACAGAAGCAAUUCAUUGUCAUGUCCGUAGCGGAUGAGAAACAAAAAGAGGUUUUUGGACGGCGUUCGUUAAUACACAUCAUCUGCCUCCCUGCCUCCCUGCCUGCGCCUCUCUCUCCACAACACCUAUGGAGAGAGGUCCGACGCCUUCAUGCACUUCGGCCAUAACUGUCGCAGAAAAUGGAAAUAACCCGGAACAAAGCCCUGAUACGCAUUUCGGUGUGGUGUCAGUUGACAUGGCAGGGUCAGCAGCGAGUUCACAACACAAUAUCGUCUGGAUAAUAUUAUCAUGUGGGCUUUUUUCAGCGCGGUCGACCGCCCUCGGGGACGGAUGUUGCGCAGGCUACGUGCGGCCUGCUACCGCUAUCGCUACCGCUACUGCUGUUUUUGCAUCGCCGACGCGACGGCCAGUCCACCGAGUGCUAUCUACUCGCUUUCCACCUCCCUGCAGCAGGACGUGCAAAUUAUAUAAACCGGUUGCACCACCCGUUGCGGGCUGGCGUUCCAGGACUUGUAAAUAAAGCCAGCGGGUGGCCGAGUCAUCUGUACAUUAGUAUUAGAAUUAAUAGAAGCAGCAGUAUUAGUGGUAGUAGUGCCUCAACCCUUACCCACCCCUUGUUUUUUAAACAACAUCGGGUCUCGCUCGCCAGGGGCUGCUGCCCACCAUGCCAUGUCCUCCCAACCGCCCUUCGUCGUCGACGUCCACUGGACCAUAAAAUGGAUUUCACAGAGGCUGCUAGAGUAGCUUCUUAAGCUGCCUUUCGGUCCAUGCUUCCACUACAGUGUGUUGAUAUAGUCAGUCCUUCGUGCCCCAACCCCGUGGCAUAUAUAACCUGUUAUUGUUCAGUCCUUCGGGGCCAUAUGGUGGUGUGUAUAUGUGGUGUGAGAGCAGUAAUGGUUACCUGCACUUUGGGGCUUCCGCUGCGUCGACUUAGUCAACAGGACGACAGCAUAUUCUUGUGCUGGCAUAGAGCAAGGCACAGCCCUGGGAAUCUGCGCGCAGAUGAAGGAAUAAAUAUUCUGUUGAUUCUUAAAUAUUUUUGGGAUGCGUUCCAGGCAACGGAUGUGAGAGGCUCAGCUACUUUCCAGAGGUUGGAUUGUUCGCGUUCGGUUUUACAGGUACGUGAUAUACAGUUACACAUGCACACAUACAAGGGCUGUAAGCGGACGCACGGAAGCUAGAGUUCCAAGGUUGACUGAAUGAGAGCAUGCAGCGAGUUGAGUAGACGUGACUUGUGCAGAGGGUAUAUUGUCCGCGCCUGUCGAGUUCAGCGCCGAUAGCUCUUAACUUUGCCUUUCGCCUUGCAAAAUUGGAAUUCCUCGAACCCACCAAAGAAGCUUACAAUUAGAACCCACGCCAAACUUCAUCUUCCGUCGAUUCGUGAUGCUCCUACUAUGACAUUGCUCUCAUGCUAUGUGCCAGCAGUGGUGGAGGAUGUGCUGUUGCAAAGGCCGAUUCUCUUGCAAGUUCUGGGAUGCAGCUGAACAGAUAUUGCGUACGACUAGGCUAUAAUAAAAUGAUAUUUUAGUUUAUGAGGUAGUGAUUAUCAGACGACUCGCGCGUGAGGACGCCUGAUGGCGAGCACAAUAUGCCAGAGAUGUUAAGAAUUUUUGCCAAGGCGGUCUCCUCCAAGACGUAAGACUUAAACUAUAUGUAAACUCAGCUUGAGAUCUUUAUGAUUGCUGGAAUAUUGGCCUUGUAAUUGAUAUGAUAGGCGAAAAGUGGCGUUGAGACGUUUGGAGUCCUCCAAACCUUUGCAGCGGAAUCCUCGAUUCGCUUUAUCAAAUGUGACAACUGAUUCAUAAUCUACUGCUUGGUGCAACAUGUGGAGUUUAUGUCGGUUUGCAGCAGGUUUUGCCGAUCGAUGAAGCGAAGGGCCUUGGGAAGAGCCUCCCGGCUCCUAAGACGCCGUUUCGAGAGCAGGAGAUUUGCCGUAUAAAAACAAGAAUAAUAUAAAUUUGAUUUUGAACAGAAGCUGUCACAUUUCAAGGUACAAGACAGGGUAAGUCAUCUACGACUUACAGCACUUACAGGCUCGCUACGUAGGACAAAACACCCAGGAUUCUUUGAUCGCGCAUGAAAUGCAAGACAUUUGAACGGUUUUCGGUCUUGAACACAGAAUUCGCACGCGUCGGUCGUGCUUCUGCGCCAGUCAUGGGUACGUCCUUGCAAGGCCAAUUCCAUGGCCUUCGUGCUUUCCGCAAUGUUACAUUACAUGGCAUAUAGUUUUGUGGCCUUUGCAUGCGGGGUUAUUGACACCUCCUGGGAGUAGCGCGAAGGGUUAACGCCUAAUCCUGACUGAAUCCGUGGUGUUUAAGUCUUUGAGUCUCGCUUAAAACAGAGAGAUGAUCCAGCUACGAAAAAGGUAGGAUUGCACACUUCCCUGGUCUCAAGUGGGGUAAAUCAAAAGUGUAAACAAACACUAAAUACAAAGGAUGACCUGUUGCGAAUGAAGCUGUGCUCUGUUUGGAGGGAUGAUAUGUGCAAUCUUUUUACCACGAUAUAAAUAACAAAUUAUUGUUACUUGUGGCGCCAGAGCGGAACAAGUUCCUACCGUAUUAACGUACCGCCGUAUCCUUUUUGUUUGUCCAGAACCAGUAAGAUGAGGCCAGUUGCAAUAACAGGAAUGUUCUCAUUUCAUCUUCUGUUUCCAGGCAUUCCUCGUAAACUUAGUACCUUGAGGAAAUUUCGUGCGGGGCACGUAUUCCGCAUUGCGCUCCAUUUGUGGUGUACAGAAUAUUAGAUAAAUUAUCGAAUCUCAGCCGACGCAACUCCGUCGCCAUACCUUGGUUGCGCAAUUUCCAAGGCUGCAGCGGUCAAUGCUAUUACUGACUAUCCCCACAGCCAGGACUGGGUCGGCAACAAACUAAAAGGAAAUAUAUCAGCUUAACAUGUGCAUCACGCGGGAUGUAGGUACUUCAGUGGCUACGCACUUACUAAUGGCUUGUAGCGGCGCAUUGUCACUCCGGGCACUGAUAUACCGCCUUUUGUGAAUGCUCUGGGGCAGCAUUAUAUGGCAUUAUUAUAAUUACACAGCUACCCGCGAUGCGCAUACGUGGUCGCUGGGACAAAUCCAUUGAAUUUCACGUCUACGCGUAUAAAGAGCAAACACUCCAUGACCGCAAAAUGCAGUACCAUGCGAGGUAGGCUUUACCGAUGAUGCAGUGACAGGCGAAUGGAAGUACUCAUCUCACAUCAGCAGCGCAUGGCAGUCUUGGCUGGGACGUACUAACCUGCCUUCUUCACCACUGCAAGGAAGGAGAAGGUACAAAAGGCGUACUUCAGCCUUCCCUCCCCCUCACAGCUCACUCAGUGGCCGCAGAAGCCACAGCGCGAAAGUGGGGGAUGAGCACAAUGCCUCCCCUGCGUUCCCCCAGUCGUUAAUGCAGUCAUUCGCUUAUCAAGUUACCAUUAGUUUAGGCAGGAUGACGGAUGUGCGCUACCUUUGCGUCUGGUCUGUGUCGCUGUGCGCUACGGUACCUUUUAACUCGGUGUAAUUCGGCGGGAUGAUAGGUAUGGUGAUCUUGGUGUCGCCUGCAGCUCUCGCCUGCAGCACCACCUGUAAUCUUUAAGCCCCAAUCCCCCACAUCCCGUAGCAGCCAGCUACCUCUUGGUUCGUGUUUCUCCGCCUCUCCGUGCCUCUCCUAUCAGUCGAUCUACUCGUCUGUCUCUCCUCGCCACUGCCCACGGCUGCGCAAGCUAUUGCUUCCCGUGCCGGGUGAUGGAAAGUGCCAAACAUAAAAUCACCCCAUGUGUGUGUGUAUGUGUGUGUGCAUGUUUACCCCAAUGUGUGUGGAGUUCUUGAGCUGAGCUCUUGGCUGUGAUGUCUGCUUGCCGCUAGCGUCUAGGCGCCGGUAAAGGGCGCAUCCGCCAGUGAAACCCGCCUGGACGGUCAGACGCUGUUCUGCACCGGAAAAACUGCAGCCGCAGCCGCAGCCGCAGUAGGGCGGACCUCAACGACGCCGUCUCGGGAGAGAGUGGAGGAAGAAGUGGAGGAGGAAGUGGAAGAAAGCGGAGGAGGAGGAAAAGAAGAAAGCCCUCAAGAUAAUUGCUCUUGACCGUACGGCACGCAAUGCCUAUGCAGGACGGAAGAAGCCAAACAAAAAAAAAUAAAGAGCAAACAACGAAAACACACGGGGUCGCACGCACACGAAGUCGCAUGAAAUGCAGCUGUCAGUUACUUGUGUUGUGGGUCACAAACCAACACACACACACACACACACACACACACGCACACACACACACAUUCACACACACACGCACAUCAACAAAUGCAUAUGUAAUUUACAUGUCGCGCAACCCGCAUCGAAGCUGGGGGGGAUUCAAUGACGAUCAACAGUCUGACUGCCACCUGCCCCUACUGCCACCUGCCCGUACUGCCCACACCCUGCUAAGAGGCAUGUGACCACGACAACCCUCUGAACCAUCCCCCCUCCUUACAUACAAUUAGCAUCAGAGACCCCACGCAGCACCACCAAUAGUUCGCUCCGCCACAACAACAACAACAACAACAACACACAAACAAAAAAAACACUCUUUUUGUUCAGCAGUCCAACAAAAGCUGUGUUUGCGUGUGCGGUACUGUUUCAUCACCCAGGGUGCCCUGGGGGGGCGGCCGGCCCCCCCCCUUCCUCUCCUUCUGCGCGACCCAAAUCGCAAGCCGCAACCUAAUGCCAAAGUUGGCCCCCGGUUCAAAGCUCUCCCCGGCCGCACACAGCACAGCGGCUGUUUGGCGUAUCGUAGGUCUGGGUUCGACCGGAUUGGAUUCAGAAAUUAUCAAGAUCUGGACCGCCGUACUUGCUGCAGUACACACUGAGUACUAAGCAUCGGAGGACACCCCCUUCCGAUCCGUGCAACCUCUCACCUAACGUGCAACAGCUCAUUCUACCAGCCCCAAGGGGGGGGGUCUAUCUCAUGCUACAUCGCGGACAUCCCCAACCUCCUGACACCACCUUCAUCCCCACCCCCAACCCCACCCCGAACCCCACCCCCACAUACAUAACGCACAUACAUACGCACGUAACACACAUGCACAUGCACGUGCGUGGAAAGAACACCGCUUAGCAGAACCACCUUCACUGCUCAUGUACUUCCAUGCAGCCAUCAUGUUUAUCGUGUGUUUUAUAGGUCCCAAAUCAUUGCAGCCAUCAUGCAACCUACCUCUUGCGAGGCGAACAAACAAACGAACGAACGAACAAACCCCCCCCACACAGCCACCUGCCCAGUCACACGUAUGUACGCGUGUAUGUAUGUGCGUCUAGCUAGCGCUCUCUAUCCCUCUCCCCCCCCCUCGCUCUCCCAUCUCCUCCUCCUUCACACCCCUCACCCCUUUUUCCUCAUCACCCCAGCACCCCCCCAACUACUCAUUCCCAGAUACACCCGACCACCCUACACACCGCUACAACGUGCAGCAGCCGGAUGGCACCCCGCUGCUGAAAGGGGCCCGGAAGGAUACACUUAGGCGGAGAACGUCCAAAGCGGCGAACCGCAUCUGGGGGGGGCCCGUUGGCGUUGGUGGUUGGUAGUUGGUGGUUAGAGGUGGGGGGGAACCAGACCUUCCCCAGGAGCUGCUUUCCAACGGUCCCCUCACCCACCCACCCACCGCACCUGCACCUGCACCUGCACCACAGCACAGCAACAGCAAUCCCAGCGGGAGCAUGUAGGAGCCGGGGGUGUGAUUUGGCGGUGUCUUGAGGAGGGUGAGCCCACCAACACGAGGCGAGUAGUACUAACAACAAACAGUACAUAACGCACUCUCCAAAUACAUUACGCCACUGCUGCCCCCCACCCCCCACUCCGCUACCAUCGCUACCACCUUCCCCUACUGCUGCUGCUACUGCUGGCACUUCACCCUUCCCCCCUCCGUUCCUCGAUGAAUGACUGUUCUUUAUUGUUGUUGUGGUGGUACGGAGGCUGUGAGCAUCUCCACCACAAUGGUGCGCUCCCAGUACUGGGCCAAGUCCAGGGGGGUGCGCCCGUCCUGUGUGUAGCAGAGGGGGGGGUAAGGGGGUGGUGGGUGGGAGAGGAGGGGUGGGAAAGGAGGGGAAAGACGAACCACGAACGAUUAAAGCUGCUGCCAAAGAAAGAGGUGGGGUGGAAGAGGAGGGGUGGGAGAGGAGGGGUGGGGAGUACUAUAUGCGGCCGAACUACUGUCGAGGCUGCGGGGGGCGGGGGGCUGAGGGAAGGAUGAAGGAAGGAUGAGGGAUAGAGGGCGUGAGAUGUAGUUUCGAUCCAUCUGUACUUCCGUUCCCCUAACUCACCCUCGGAAAUCACGUACAUACAUAAGUAACAACUACACACACACGACACCCCAGCCAAGGAGGAGGGAGGAGGAGAGGAGAAGAAUUUGAGUCGCGCGUUCACACACACACACACACACACACACACACAUACACGCUAGCAUUCCUUUUUCCCCCCAUACCCGUAAACACCUCCCUCACACACACACAUAGACACACAUACACCCUUCCCUCCCAUCCCCCAUCCAUACACACACCCGUAUUCGUGCCUCCUUAUCCGCCCCCGCCCGCAGCAAUACCGCCACCACGUCCUGCCGCCCGUCCUUAGCCGCCACAUGGAGUGACGUCCAGCCGUCCUGAAGAUGUGAAUGCGGAAAUGCAGAAGUGAAGAGACGGCUACACGUACGCACAUCAUGUCUAAAUAUGAAAGGGGGGGUGAAAUGAAGGGCGGUGGUCAAAGCAUCAGCUGCUCCGCAGCAUCCACGUGGAUGGAUCCACUGUGUUGCCACGUGUGCACGGCAUCCCCAAACACAGUCCAGGGGACGAAAGUCGAAGCGUUGCUGACAGCGUUGUUGCUGUCCAAGAAACCAGCUCUCGAAACCGACUCAGGCAAAUAAACUGUACAUGGUGAGUACCACACAUUUGCCUGUAGUCACUGUGUUAGGGUGGGUGGUCAUCAACCCCCCCCCCCGGCCGGAGCUGGGGGAGCCGAUAGCCCCCUACCUACACCGCCGGGGGCUAUAACCCCUUGGGACUGCUGGUGACCACAAGGUGAGUUCUGUCGGGAGGCUUGCAUUCUGGCAUGUUCUGGGGUUUGGGGCCACAACGGACUGCACUGCACUGCACUGCACUGCACUGCACUGGAAAGGAAAGGAAAAACCCAGAAGAUGAAAACACACACACCAACACAUACACACACCCACACACCCCUAUGGGGAUGGCACAUGAUGUGAUAUGGAUUGAGAGCCACUGCGCGAGAGGGUGGGUGAUGGCCGGCACGGGCUGGUAUAUGUGGUGUACAUGGUGGUGUAAACACAUGCCUUGCAAGGCGCUCCACCAGCACCAGGGCAUAGUGAAAGGACUUUUCAGCAGCCGCAGCCAGCUGCUACGACAUUUUAUUACUACCUUUCCAUCCUCAACAUCCCCCAUACAUCAAAAUGGUGCUGUAUUGUAUGGUAAAUCGUAGAAAUGACAAUGUGUUCAAAUGGCCCAGAAGCCUCCGACUCUGUAACAAUUCAAAUUUAAAUAUCAAAAAGCUUGUAUCAAGCUGAUACACUACUUUACAACUAUUUUUUUCAUUUUCACAAAUUAAACACUUUCCUAAACCUGCCUGCGCCAGUGUCUGUCUUAUCACUCGUUCCAUUCCUGCCACUUGCCUCCCCAGUUUUAUCAAUGCAGCACACACUGGAGGUACCGAGGGCGACAAUGUUACCAGGUGAUGAGACCAGAACACGACUGUUCCGGACUUUGGACGCCUUCCGACAGUUCAGUUCAGUUCAGUUCUGGUUUCCUUGCCUUUAUGAUUUCUCCCCCACCGCCACACACACACACACACACUCCCUCCACCCCUCCAUCCAUCCACCUUACCCCUUAUACCCAUUUUCAAUCCCCUCACAUCCCACCCCAAACCCCUUCCCCUCACCCCAAAUUCCCCCCCACCGCACAUGCACACACAGACAUACAUACAGACAUUCCUCCACUGCUCACCAUGUCCUUGGCCUCCUUAUCCGCCCCGGCUCGCAGUAACGCCUCCACCACCCCGGCAUGGCCCUCAUAAGUGGCCAGGAGUAGCGGGGUGUUGCCGUCCUUGGGGGGGAGGGGGGAAAAGAGGGAAAGGGGGGAGAUGGGAUAUGAAUGUGUAUAGGGGGAUGUACAUGUCGAAGGUGCGUUGUCUGUCUGUUUGUCAUAAGGAGCGCACGGAGGGGGGUUGAGGGAGGAAGGGGGUUUAAACAAAAUUACACGAAGCAAAACAUGUGACGGGCGUGACCCAGAUGGGAUGACAACCAUGUCUGCGUGUAUGUAUGUAUGUACGCGUGCGUGCAGGGAAGAGAGGGAGGAGGGAGGAGGGGUUGUGCUACAGGGGGGCGGGAGAACACGUCGUAGAGUGGAGGUGGAGAAAGACGCGUGACGGAGGGGAAGAAAAGACGAACCACGAGCGAGUGAAGCUGCUGCCAGGAACGGCGGGGAAGGUAAGGCCCAGGCACGUGUGAGGCUAGUGUUUUCUAAGUGAGGGGUGUUGAUGGGUCUUUGCAGAGCGAGGGGGCAGCCAGAACAGAUAAACACAACUCCUUUCAUAACUCCAACCUCUCCUGUCUGGCUGGCCAGCUAAUUGCCAGCCUUGUCUUUUGCCGUGGGUGAAUAUAGGGCCCCCCCUUUCCCCGUCACAAUCCCAAUCCCAAUCCGUUUCCAACCCACCGACCACGUGCCCUGCCCCACCAUCCCCAACACAUCGCCGCAUCCCGCACCCCCCAUCCCUCUCACCGCCGCUCGCGCCUCUUUAUCCGCCCCCGCCGCGAGCAGCACCUCCACCGCCCCCGUGUGGCCAUGUAGACUGGCCACGAGGAGGGGGGUGCGGCCGUCCUGCGGGAGGGGGAGGGGGGGGAGAGGGGGGAAAGACGAACCACGAACGAGUGAAGCCGCUGCCAAGAAAAGAGUGCUGCGGAGGGGGAGGAGGAGGGGGAAAGACGAACCACACACGAUUGAAGCUGCUGCCAGGGCAAGAGAGUAGCAAACGUAAAAACUGACCGAAAGGCGUCCAUGGCGACUGUGACGACUGUGACCUCGGGAGGAGGAGGGGGAGGGGGAGGGGGGAAUCACGUACCAAUGCAGUGCAAGUACAUGAACCUUACUGUUGCACAUACAUGCACACAUACAUAUGAACGCAGAAAUACGCACAUACAUACGCACGCACAUACGCCCUAUUGCACAAGCAUACACACGUACGCACAUCCUCCACUCACCUCAUUUUUUGAUUCCACGUCAGCCCCAAGUUGGGCCAGCCUCUCCACAACGGGGGUUUGACCGUUCUGGGCUGCAAGGUGGAGCGGAGUGAAGCCAGACUGCCGUACACAGCCGUACCAACAUGCAUAUGAGGGAUGUGGGAAACGGGUAUUCGGACGGGAGGAGUUGCGGGGUGGGCGGGUGUGGCGAAGGGGUGAAGUAGGACGCGUACGGGGCCGGGGGGUAAAGGUGGUACGAAGGUGUGUACGGCUGAAAAACACACCACACGACGACAACAAUAUAAAGAAGCAUUAAUCAGGAGGUCAAGGCAAUAACGAGAUGCAAUAUACUAACUAUUAUAAGUACGUGAUUGCCGCCAUUCACACCAUCAUCAACGGCUUCUAGAACCUUCCAGAGGUGAUCUCCUCAGUUCACCCGGCGGCUCCUGGUGUUGUGGGGGGGAACAGACCCCCUCUGCCUGAAAAGCGUACAGGGCUUGGGGACAGGCACGUCCCUCCUCCUCCUCCCCCUCGACCCCCUCUGCCUUCUCGGCCCUGUAGCCCCUGGCCCCCCUCUCCCCUUCCCCCCCACCCCCACACCCCACACACCCCACCUCGUUCUUGGCCUCUAAAUUGGCCCCUCCCUUGACCAGCGCUUCCCCUGCCGCCGUACGGCCCUCCUUGGCCGCCAGGUGCAGCGGCGUGCAGCCGGUCUGUGGGGGCGAGGUAAGGCCCCGGGGGGAAGAGGGUGGGGUAAGAUUGGGUUACGGCGCUGGGAAACACCAUACGUGUGAAAGACAUACAUACAUACAUGCAUAAAUUCACCGCUGGCGAAACUUAAGAGCAUCGAAGCACGUGAUCGGGGCAUGAUGAGGUGGCGGUUGUGUAUGUAUGUGUAUGACGUGUGGGACAGGGGGGUGUAUCUUCACCCUGCGGCAGCUACCCUGCGAAACCCUGCCUUCCCCGGUAUUUCGGGGCACACUCAUCCAAUCACCCUAGCCAGCUUCUCAGUGAAUUGCUCAGGUUCCGCACCCACCACCGGAAUCAUCCAACGGAAUCUGCCGGACUAACGGCGGCUCUAAUCUCUUCCUGGUCAGCUCGCGAGUCAACUUUAUCCCAGGUCCCACCGUCCAUCGACUAGGGGCACUUUUACCUUCCACCAUCGGAAGGAUUUUCGACCCUGACAGGUCUCGAUCCCGGAACCUCCGGGGGCAUUAAUGUGUGCUUUACCAGUAGUGCCUGACCUAUGCAUGUAUUUAUAUGUGUGUAUAGGGGGGAAGGAGGCCCGCAGCGCUCUAGGGAGGAUGGUUAGGUGUGAGGGUACUACAUCACACAGGUUACAGCGGAGGGGAAGUACUGCAUGCGGCCACGCACGUCGACAAGGGAAUCAAACCGAUCUGCCGACACGGCCAAAGUCGGUUGCUGCAAAACUUUCUUCUAUUGGAGUCCAAACCCACGACGACGACGAUGCGACUGCUCUUCUGUGAAUUCCACUACCGACAUUUUUGGGGCGUCGUAAAGGAGAGGAAAGGUUACGGGGUGAGCGGGGGGAAAUGCGGAGAUUGCGAUUCUUAUUUUAGAGGGGAAGAGGAGGAAGGAGAGAGAGAGAAAAAGAGGGAGAGGGAGAAAGAGAGAGAGAGAGAAAAAGAGGGAGAGGGAGAGAGAGAGAAGGGGGAAGAGAGGGAGGGAGCAGACGCAAACCCACACUGACACGACACUGACCACCCCAUCCACCUGACCUCUUUCUCCCUGCCUCUCCCCCUCCCCCCUCCCCACCACCACACACACCUUCGCCCCAUCCUGCGCGAAGACUCCUCCUUCACAAGUCGCGACUGGUUCGCUACUUUAUACACGUACUUCUGGCCUAUCAGUGUAUCCUUGGCACCAUCGUACACUCUUUCAUGGUUAGUCUUCCCCCAACCCUCUCCCUUCCCCAGUCCCCCGCCCUCACCUACCUUGUCCACCGCCUCCUUAUCUGCCCCCGCCCCCACCAGCACCUCCACCAGCUCUGUGAAGCCGCCUAAAGCAGCCCCAUGAAGGGGAGUACGACCAUCCUGAAUGCGGGGGGAGGGGGUAACGGGGGGGGAAGUGGCGCGGGAGUUGCAUGUAUGCGCGCGCGCGUGUGUGUUUUGGGGGAAAUUGUGGUCCUGCACACGGGCGGGAGGAAGUGCAGCAGAAAGGAAAGAGAGGAGACAGCAAAGGGGGAACUUCCCCAAAAGGGGGGAACCCCUUCUUCCCCGUAGGGGGGGAGUUCAUUCCCGAAGGUGAACCCCCUUGGUUCCCCUAAAGGGGACGAACUAAAGGGGUUCCCCUUCAGUUCAUCCCCUUCGUGUUUUCACUAAAGAGGAUGAGAAAGGAAAAAUGGGGGGCCGGGAGAGGAGAGGGAAAAGGGACAUGGGACGGGGCAAACACAGCCAUGAGGACAGGGGCCAGGCUAUCCCACCCCAAACCCCUUCCCCUCACCCCAAAUUUCCCCCCCCCCCACGCACACACAGACAUACACACAGACAUUCCUCCACUGCUCACCAUGUCCUUGGCCUCCUUAUCCGCCCCGGCUCGCAGUAACGCCCGCACCGGGCCCAAGUGCCCGUUCUCACAAGCCCAGUGCAUGGCUGUCCAACCCGACUGGGGGGGGGCCGGAGGAAACACCAGUGUCACGGCAGUGUGUCGGGGCGAGCAGGAAGGGGUUAGGGUCGAGCCAGCGCAAGGGUAAGAUUUACACACGCACUAUGCGGGAAAAAGGUCCAAUUUCCCGAAGCACGAACGUGUAUGUAUGUAUUUAUGUAUGAUGUAUUUAUGUGUGUAUUUAUGUGUGUAUGUAUGUGUAUGCGGGGAAGGGGAGGGGACGGGGGUUCAAGGUAGGAUUGCGCGGCGGGGUGGGAUACACCCGCAAGGGUAAGGGCCGCCUGAUAGCACCAGCCGGCUGCAAAUGCUUCUUGAAUUGCAUUGCAUUGAAUUCAAAUGCUUCUAAACCGCCAACUUGUUAAAGAGGCUCAACCCCGGGUGCAGAAAACUACACGGAAAGCCACCUGAACCCCCCCCCUAAACCUCAUUCAUGUAGCUCACCCACCCACCCCCGCGGUGGCCGCGUCCUUGUCCGCCCCCGCCUGCAGAAGAGCUUCCGCAGCCUCCGUGAAGUUGGCGGAGCAGGCGGCGAUGAGGGGUGUGGCACCGGACUGGGAGCGGGAGCGGGAGCGGGGGGGUUCCCGGGGGGGGGUUAGGGGGUUAGGGGGGUAGAGAGAGAGGGUGGAGGAAGAGGGCCAUGGUUCGGGAGUCAGCAGGCGAUGGUGAUGAUGAUGGCGAUGAUGAUGAUGAUGUGGCGAGAGUGCUCGUGCAGACUGAUAUUUGGACAGGUAGACAAGUAGACCGACCGACAGACAGACAAACAGGCCAACAGCUUGCCCACCUGGUUCCUGGCGUUCUUAUCCGCCCCCUGCCCGAGCAGCAGCUCCACCACCUGGGUACGCCCCUCACCACUGGCAAGUAGCAGGGCGGUGGCGGACUCCUGGACGGGUCGUGACGGGUGAAAAACACACGGUGCAACGGAUCUCAUCAACUGCCAACGGCCAUCAUACCAACUGACCGCCGUUGUUUCAGUGCGGACUGGAGUGGAGUGAGGUGAGGUCGCCCGGUGGGCGGUUGGGGAAAGAGUCUCAUCACCACCACCACCACCACCAUCACCACACCGACAACAGAAUGUGUGUGCAAGCCGGGGAGAGGGAAACUUCAGGCGGGGGGAGAAAGACAAACCACAGGUGAGCGAGUGAAGCUGAUUCCAAGGAUAUGGGGGGUAGGUGACGGUCCAUGAUGACCCGGACCCCGGAGAGGAAAAAAAGAAGUUUGAUUUCAAUCAAACCUCACAGACCGCGGAGAGGCCGGGGGGCCGCGGGAACGGCAAAGAAGGUGGUUGCUUGGCGGGAAAGACGAACCACGAAAACGAUUGAAGCUGCUGCCAGGGAAAGAAUGUACCAGAAGUAAAACUGACCGGCAGGGGGGGAAAGACGAACCACACGCGAUUGAAGCUGCUGCCAGGGCAAGAUAGUAGCAACCGAAAGAACUGACCGAAAGGCGUCCGUGGCGACUGUGACGACUGUAACCUCGGGAGGACGACUGUAACCUCGGGAUGAAGAAUUGACGUAGAUGUUGGAAGUCCUACCUACCUAAGCCGCCAGAAAAAAAGGCUGAAUAGUAUAGCCAAACCGUAAACUAGGUGUACCGGCAGGGGGGAAGGGGAGAGGGUUUGCAGCGCACGAUGGCGGCGGUCGCGUGGGUUGGCACCUUGGCCGGCCAGACGGACCGGGGGACUGAUCACCUGUAACCCGCCCUGCAGCCCCGACCACACACACACCCACAUACACACAUGCACACACACGCACACACAUACCAACCCACCCCGUUUCGUGCCUCGAUGUCCGCCCCCGCCAUGAGCAGCGCCUCCACCACCCCCGUGUGACCGUUACACACGGCCAGGAGCAGCGGGGUGUUGCCAUCCUGCAUGUAUGUAUGUAUGUAUGAAUGUAUGUAUGGCUGUAUGUAUGUAUGGCUGUCUCCAUGGCUGUAUGAUAAUGAUGCAAAAAGCAAAUAUAAAACUGCCGAUAUGUCCUGGAAAGGGAGAGGGAGUUUGCGGAGAAGACGAACCGCGAACAAGCGAAGCUGAUGAUGUGGGGUGGGUUAGGGUGGGGUGCCAAAGCAGGUGACAGCCGUGGUCCCGUUGGGCCACAGGUUUUGGCAAAAGGGGGCACCAGCAGUGUUGGACGACACAUGACAGCGGUGCGGUCCUGCUCCUGCCUCUUGGGAAUGAAUACGCAAACCACACCUCCCCUUUUGCCUUUCAGGACAACAUAUGUGCCCCAGCGGUAAUGCGCUGGUUGCCGCGUUAGUCCAAUACAAAUCGCGUACCUUGUCUUCCGCGCUAUUGGGGCUCAUGGUCCCGGAGGGGGGCAGUAACCGAGUCACAUCGGCUAGGUCGCCGCAUGCACAUGCGCGUAGGAGGGCCUCCUGAUGUGGGUUUUGGGGGGAGAAAGAGGAAAAAGGAGUGGAGGAUGAAGAUGUGCCAGGUGUGCGAAUUUUGGGGAUGGAAGGACAGAUGGCGGGGAAUGCAGGGGGGAUUGGUAACUGGGUGGAUCUGGGGUUUGGGAGGAACGGAGGUGGGAGAGGGAAACAGAAGGGACGAGGGGUGCGCGAUUUGGGUUUUGGAUAUUGGCAGGAAGUCGUCAUGCGUGGGAAAUUUUUGGCCAUCAUAGCGCGAAGCGCAUCCGCUGAGGCCCACACCAAUUACAGGCCGUCGGGAGCCCAGGGGAAAAUACCAUAACAGGAAGGAAACCGGAACUGUGGGUAGAUCGUGAAGGAAAAGGGAAUGUUUGACGCGAUAGAGCUGGUGUGGCAAAGCUGUAAGUUGCUCCAUUAGAUACCUGUGGUGAGUUCCGGUUAGCAUGUAAUUUCUGGUCCUUCAUGCAUAUCGUCGCAACCCCUAAACCCCAGCGCGUUACGCCCUCGGCGCCUAGCAGACCCGGAAAACGUACCGCAAGCGCUGGAUCUGUGGUCAAGUCUAGGAUUGGAGCUGGAGCUGCCGGAGGGCCAUCGGUUGCGGAGGGAUUGGCCCUGCUUCGUGAGCCAUCGCUACCUUUGACUGAGUUAGCAGCUGGGAGCGAUGCACCCGAAGGAAGCGCGCCCUGUAUUUCAUAUUCAAAGCAACAACAUAAUAUCAUUCAAAAAUCUGCGAAGCCAUUUACCAAACAGCGCAAAGGAAUUGUGAUGUUGCAAAAAGCCCAUAGAAAUGCGAAUCUUUGCCAUCGAUGAACUGGCUCGCAGCAAAGAUAGUUGACAAGAAAAUCAAGCAUUUAAUUGGAUUGUGAUACGAUAUUGCGUCGACCCCUUGAACUCCAAGGUCAGGCUGUCGGAAAUGCUGCGACUUUAAGUUACGCACGCACCUCCUUGCUUACUCCGCAGCCCAUCGCCGUGGCACAGCAGGCGCCCCUUUGCGCCCGCUCCUAGAAUUUCUCACUGUCAAGGCCUCGUGGCAGCUUCAGAACAGGCUAGACCCCAAAUUACAGAACCAGUUCUUCCCCAAAAAUGCUUAAUUUAAACCACAAGAAGGAAUCAUGAACAUUCCGUCUUUUGCUUGGAAGGAAGGUGCGUCGAUUUGCAUCUGAAUGGAAGAUGUACUACCGGCACCCUUCUAAGAGGUAGGCAAAGACUGCGUUACCUUGCAGUUUUUGAUGAAUUGAAAACCGCAACGCUAGCCGUGUAUACGUUUCACACCGUCACGUGUAACUCCAUAUCCGGAUGUGUCUUCGUGUCGAUGCUUCAACUGGCGCGAGCUUCGUACUCCAGUCUGACUGCCAUGCUCUGCCCGUAAGGAUCGCAGCGCUGUCCCGUCCUGAGAAAACGGCAUCGAUUGUACCUGCCUAAUUACUGGAAUCCCUGAUUGACUUAGUAUUGUCGGUGCGCCUGCUUGCACGCCAUCGCUUCUCUUCCGCCCCAUCGCGUCCCUACCGUCAUAUCCCCGCGUUAACCGAUCAGAAUGUGCAAGGCGAUUUUACAGGAGUCUGGCAGGCAACGGCUGCCGCCCUCCUAACAUCACAACACCUGUUGCCAUUCACAAAUAUGCGUUCCUAAAAAGCGUAGACCUGGCUCUAUGCAAAUCUCACAAAACGAAGCGAAGUGACAAUAAAUGGCCCCCGCUCGACCCCGGCCCACAAAAACUCUACCAAAAAUUCUACUAGCGACGACCUACAACCUCAGGGCACUGAAGGCAAAAAACAAAGGGCUGCUAUCGGGAUUAGAACAAAUAGAGGUGAUAUCUACAUUGAACGCCAGCUGCAGAGGAUUUCAAGCCUUCAGAUUACUUAAAACCUGCCCUACGCCACCCUCGUCCCUAUGCUGGUACAGUGGGGUAUUGUCCGUGUAGGUGAGCGAGUGUCACAUGAAUUAUGAAUGUUCGCGUGCUGCCCACACUUCUGGCGCUGGGCAACGUUCCUUGUCUGUAGAGGGAUGUGGCGGCGGCGGUGGCCUUGGUGCUGGGUCAGGCUGGAGCACUUCAGCAAAGGUGUGUGAGAACGUGUGUGGAGGGAUCAGAUGGGGGAUGUGCGUGCAAACCGAUUAACAAGCUGGGUCAGGCGCAUAGAAACUUUCCGGUGCGCUUAGCUGGAUGUGAUGUUGCUGUUGCUGUUGCUGCCGCUGCCAGUCAAACAUGAUAUUGCGCACUCCAAUGUUGAUCUCCAAGUCCUUUAAAAAGGAAACUAAUUGUCUGUGGACGCGUCAAAACGGCGCAGCGCCUGCCCAACUCAACCACCCACUAUCAACCCUGACUGCACACUUACCUGCAGAACUGCAGGGGAACCCCAGCCCCAGACCCAAAAUAAAAGGUAAAGGCGCUCCUGGCAUCCUGUGGACCACACGGCACACCCAGACAUAGUGCCGAGCGAGGCUAAUCCUGGGAAAGAGGACAUUACAGGGGGGGAGACGUAACAUGCAACAUGCCUAGGCUACGCAAGGCUAAAUAAAAUGAAUAUUUCUCCUUAUUGGUAUUGAGGAAGGAACUUGCAGAUGGUUGGCCAUCCAAGCUGUUCCGCUUUUUGGGGAGCUUACAUUUUGAUAUGUGGGAUGGAUUACCUGCUGGGGCUACAAGUGAUAAUAGGCGUGAGUGGGCGCACCGGAAAAACCGUCCAGGGGGUUGCCAAUCCUUUCUGAGCUCCAUCACCAGUUCAUGUUUUCAUGGAAGGCUGUCUGCAGUGCCACAAGAUUUCCCCACGGAUGGAUAGCUACCAGGCAUUAAGGCGGCUAAAUUAAAGCACUGGAUGGGGUUGCCAUUUGCGCAGCUGGGAAGCAGCUGGGAAGCAGCUGGGGCAAGCUGGUUGCCCCAUGCCAGGACAAUAUAGCACGCAAGAGCUCCUCAAGGAAAGCUGACUAGGUACGCCAUGCAACGAGGAAUCUCCGGAUAUGCAGCGUCAUAGAUUCAUCAACCACAUGGGAGUAAUUAUUCGCGCUAUAGAUGCGUGGGAAGCCUGUGGAAGGGUGCACCCGUUGCGGUGUUUAAUUACAUGGAUACCAUUGGAAGCUGCGGGCGUGUAGACAUGCAUGUCUCCAAACCAGACGUCUCCCGCAUGUGCAUGAUCCGCAAAAGUCAUGGGCAAGCGAUUACCAGAGCUCCCCACUUGAAGGCUUUGGUGACAAGGUCACAGGCUGCCCCAAACGACUAUGUGUGCGCUUCCAUCCCAGCGCUUGAUGUGCACAUCCAUCCCAGGGUCAAAGGAUGGAAGCAGCUCAAAUUCCACGGAUCCCUGUUGCGUAUGAAAGGGAGCCAAGCCGCUCCUAACAAUUGGGAAGCGUAAGCUGACUGUUCUAUCCGAGAUACUGGCGCAUGCACAGAGAAUCGGGAUUUUCAACCUCAACUUAGACUUACAAUCUUCAAAAUUUGGUCCACUUAAAUAGUCAGGCUACCGCGCCACAAUCUCACUCGUCAUACACACAAGUCCUAGCUCCGCUAGCUUCAAAAUGUUACGACAUGGUCAUGCAUGUAUUCCGAAAGCUCGUCAACCAACUUCAUAACAUACUCCCCUUCUUAAAAACAAGCACCAUCCUCGGUGUGAAGGGGAAGCACUAAGCAAUAUUAAGCGGCCAAGUGGUGUGCCUCUCUGAUCCCCUUAACGACAUCGGCACCAGGCUAACGAGAUGAAGGAAAAAAGGGAACCAGACUUGAGGCAAAACCUUCCCCGCACUGGAUACCGGCCUAAAAUGGCACUGCACGAGGAACAUGACGGACGGACGUGCAUGUCUGUUGUACCCUAGGCGGACAGCUGUGACGACGGUAUCUGCACUGUCAUACGGAGAUUCUAGCACAGUAGGGGCUGCAGGUGAGGAUGGUGGUCGGCCUGGAAAGAGCGCCGGGUCGUUGUCAUUCCAGGGAAGAAGGCGGCUGACGUGAAAGACUGGAUGGAGGCGGCCAAGGGAGGCUGGGAUGUUGAGGUGAUAAACGAUUGGGGAAAUGACGGAAGAGAUGAGGAAGGGACCGAGGUAGCAGGGCCGAAGCUUGGGGGAGGGGUAGGUUGGCAGGGUGUGGUGUUCUGUGGACAGACGGACACAGUCACCAACUUUGAAGGUGAUGGAUGGUGCGGCGAUGCUGGUUAGCGGUGGCAGUGUAGCGGGUUUUGGAGUUCGUGCCCUCCGACCCCAGCCCCUUACUACCCACUGCAACAGCAGAAUCUCUAACCUCAUUACCACACUGUCAUUCCCUCCACUUUGGCCCACCACCUCACCACCUAUCAAUGUUGCAGCCAACCAUGCCCUCCAUCAUGCCUGUUUCACCAUCACAGCCCAUGUCAUCCCAGACCCCAGCCUCACGGACGAUGUCUGCUUUGGAUAUACCGCCAACCCUAUUUACUCCAAUCCAACCACCACCCAACCUUACCUCCAACACUCCUUGGACGGUUUCUUCUGUUUCACCAACUGAAUCGCCAUUCCCAACAUCCAAUCCUUACGCUGUCACCUACUUCACGAAUUCCAUGAUGCUGCUUACUCUGGUCACCCUGAUUUCCAUCGCAUCCUCAUCGUGAUAUCCACCCAUUACUGGUGGCCUUGCAUGGCCCACACCAUCAAAUCCUACGUCAAGUUCUGCCCCAUCUGUCAACACACGUCCCUUAACACUCCUCCGCCUACCACCCCCAAACAGGUGGUCAGACAAAGCAAAAACAUCGCACCAUUGAGCAGAUCCUCUGCGCCUACAUUCAACCUAUGCAAGGCAACUGGGCGUCGUACCUUCCAAUCACCGAAGCAGCAGAUAACAACGCCACCCUCGCAAGUACCGGAAUGACACCAUUCUAUGCCAAUCAUGGCUGCCACCUGCACACUCCCAUCUCUCUCCACGGCCCUCAACCUGCACCACCUACCUCUAACCCACAGGCUACAGAGCUACAGCUGCGCAUGAACGACAUCCACGCCACCAUUAACCGUGAAAUUCAAGCCGCCAAAACCGGCUACACUGCCGCCGCUAACCAGCAUCGCCGCACCAUCACCUUCAAAGUUGGUGACUGCGUCCGUCUGUCCACAGAACACCGCACCCUGCCAACCUACCCCUCCCCCAAGCUUCGGCCCUGCUACCUCGGUCCCUUCCUCAUCUCUUCCGUCAUUUCCCCAAUCGUUUAUCACCUCAACAUCCCAGCCUCCCUUGGCCGCCUCCAUCCAGUCUUUCACGUCAGCCGCCUUCUUCCCUGGAAUGACAACGACCCGGCGCUCUUUCCAGGCCGACCACCACCCUCACCUGCAGCCCCUACUGUGCUAGAAUCUCCGUAUGACAGUGCAGAUACCGUCGUCACAGCUGUCCGCCUAGGGUACAACAGACGCGCACGUCCGUCCGUCAUGUUCCUCAUGCAGUGGUCCACAGGUAGCAGGCUCGACCCCUCGUGGGAACCAUACGAGGACGUGCACAACUUACCAGCGCUUCGUGCCUUCAUGAGGAGCCCAAGCUGGACCGGGUUCAGGCUAUUGGAUACCAACUGAAAGGGAAAACAAUUGGGAAAUGAAAGCUGACUGUACUAUCCGAGAUACUGGCGUAUGCACAGAGAAUUGGGAUUUUCAACCUCAACUUAGACUUACAAUCUUCAAAUUUUGGUCCGCUUAAAUAGUCAGGCUAGCGCGCCGCAACCUCACUCGUCAUACACACAAGUCCUAGCUCCGCUAGCUCCGAAGUUACGACAUGGUCACGUACGUAUUCCAAAAGCUCGUCAACUAACUUCAUAACAUUACACCGUAGGCAUAAAUAUCCGUUGUUGGUUUAUGCAGACCAGGUGAAGAUGUUGGCGGUUCUGCGCAUGCGGCCGAUUCCUGUCACAGGAAUUUCCUUGUCACAAGAAUUUCUUGACAUAGUGUCAAGUCGCCCUUUUUUGCCGUCCAUCUCAAACUUAUGGCGGAAGCGUUUGCAAGUAAACAUCUUUGCUUCCAAAAUUUUGAUAAGCACGCUGCCUAAAUGUGUCUGGCAUGUGCGCAUUUCGGCACUCGCAGCAGGAAACGAAGUGUAUGGUUCAAGGGUAAAUGAUUAACGAGAGAUGACAACUUUACAUCCAGCUGUAUAAACAAGAUAGCCACUAGUAUCGAGAAAUCGGCUCACAGUCAGUCGUUGAGGGUCGUUGAUGCUGUGCGUGGAUUGCGUGGACUGCCAUACAGCACAUCGAAACAUUGAACACUGGCGUAACUAUUUCAAUUGACAACAUGCCACUUUUCCUCCUUCUUGUGGCGCCUAGGUGCGCUGAGCUUUGUGAAGAUCAAUUGCACUUGCAGGUGCCUGGUACAACGCUACACCUAGGAGUUCACUUCAUCUGGUGGUGCGUGUAACAUCUCACCAAACAUUAUUGCGCGAAUAAGGCUGGAGCACCAUGAUCCAAGGCCAUAUACCCGCGGGGCCACCUACGCGUAGGGGCCACCCUCAGCCACUGUUCCGUGACUGUUCUGUCUCACGAGGGCACUAACACAAGAUGAGGCCGGCUUUUAUAGACUGAUGUUAUACUCCGGCAAGUGGUCAUGAUGGCCAUCUCACAUAGCCAGUUGCCUGCCCGUCAUUGCCGGUACCGUACUCGUCGGGUUUGGAUGCUGCGUUUUGCAACUGGAGCAGCCAUCCGCUGGGUAGGAUUGCAUUUACGGUUAUCUUUAUAAUCAGUGCGCAGGUGACGUCCUGUAAUCGGGUUGCUGUAGCUCGGGAAGCCCGCGCACAAGUUCCCCGUGCAAGUGUGGCCUGGCACUCAUAGUCCGAUGAAAUAGUAAAGCUCCUGAAGUGGUUGGAUCAAGUAAACUGAAGUACGGUUGAUGUGGGAUGUUGAGCGGUGUAUCAUAACUGCACUUGCAAGCCCAGCUCAAAGCUGUUGAACAGUCCGAGCCGUACGGACCACCCGGCCUACUGCGUCAGGCAACAUGGCUCCUCCGACGUAACUUGCUUACAGUGAGUACAUUUCAUAUAUUUGCGUGUUGUACUGGGAGAACGAUGUAACUAAAGACUUCGUUUCCGCAAGCGCAAAUACACCGGUGGUUGACUAUGGCCCGCGUUAUCCUGUAUCGCUUUAUCUAGAAAUGCUUCAAAUUCAUGACCAUAACCUUACUAUAGGCGGGUCUUGAGCUUUGCGUGAAGGAGACAUGGGCCUGUGAUAUUGCUUACACCUGGCCUGAUUAUUUCUAUAUCGGAAAGCUGUAUUACACAAGCUAUCCUGGAUAAAUGUCGAAGCCCUCCACUCCUGUGCGCCGGUCCAAGGUUGGACCUGGACGACCUGGGAGUGCAGGUAAGAUGUCCCUAACGUUUAAGCUCCAAGAAUGGCUCAUGAUCAGGUUUCGGGGAAACCGAUCCUAACCGAUUAGAUGGUCGCGUUUUGACUGCAGGCGGUGAAAUCCCGCUAACGGCGUCCAUGGAGGUCCUUACACCGGAUCCAUGGUAUUGAGUUCCUUUCAUUAUGUUACUCCCAUGCUUGAUUUGUUUCUCUCCAACCUGACGCUAUGCUUGUCUUGCUUACAGCAUUCCGCCCCACUUGGCUGCGUCAGAGCUCGCUCGUUCUCAAGGUAGGUAUGGGAAAACUUAUGCGGGGGGCCCCUCCAGAAUCAGGGGGGUUGGGGGAACUGGAGUAUGUAUGUGGGGUAAUGGGGUAAGGAUCUGAAUCUAUCAGAGGGGCUUAGUUGCUGUCACUGUCGUCCUGAGUCGGCAAUCUGGUUAUGAACUCUUUUUCUAAAUCCAAAAAUUUCAUUAUGUUACCUUUGACAACAAUCUGGAAUUAAACACACAUGGGGUUUUCAUUCCAAAUCCCAUCCCAUCUGCACCAGAGCUGCACGUUGCGUCGACAGCUUCCAAACCUCGGACGGGCUCGGCGUCCCUGGUCAGGUACGGCACCAACCAUAGAUUAGACGUGUGCGUGCGUGUGUAUGUGUGUGUGUGUGCGUGCGUGCUUGCGCACGUGUUUACAGUAUAAAAAAAUGAGGCAGCCCUAAGAAUCACCGCGUCAGGCUGUUGCAUGUAUCCGUGUCCGACAAGCAUGUCUGCUUGUCUGUGAAUGUGUGCGGUUCAGUCCAGGGUGGUUCAUAGCAGCAGGUCCUCUCCACAGGCAGUGCCCGAAGUUGGUGCAAUUGGUCAGUCGUUUAGAUUUCUGUCAUGCCCUAGCGGAACUGGGGUCCUUUAGAUCUCUUUCCUCCCACAGGAGCGCGGCUGCUGCUUCUCCUGUCACUCCCUUGCUCCCCGCCGUUAUCGCAUGCCCCAGUGCCCUGCCUUUGUUCAGAGCGGCCCCCCCCCCCACCCUUUAGUUGUUUUAUUUUUGAAUUUGCAUGUAUUUCCCCACCCCCCACCCUCCCCCCGUCGGACAGCUCAUUCCUUGUUUCCUUGCAUAUGAUUUCCCCCUCCGCCUUCUCUAAGUAACGCGGACGUCAGCAGCUGUUCCUCUGACUUUUGCACAUAUCGAUAUGUAGUAUCCCGUCCCUCCUCAAGAUCGUGGUUUCGGGGCGGGUCCGAUCCGUCUUACCUGGCAAAGUGGGCGGAAGGCGGAUAGGCCGCAGCACUGGGCGGCCCUUACCCAAUCUCCCAUAGCAGCAUUAAGACGUCGGGUGUCUGUUCCGCUGAGGCGGCAGUCAUCCAAACAGACAGUAUUCCCGCCUUGAAGCUGAGGCAGCUUUGAGUUGUUAUCUGUCCCGCAGCGGCCAUCGCGCGCCAAGCAAAAGUAUCCCACAAUUCAGCGCCGUGAGCCCGCCGGUAACUUCUCACUAUCACCAUGACACUCAGCAAAGCGAUCACGCACCUCCAGCCUGACCAUGUCUCACCGUCCCCUAAGCAAGAAGGACACGCACCAUACCUUCACCACAAGACGCUCUGAUUGACUGACUAACUAACGUGGCCGGGCAAGGCCACGAUUACAAUAGCUACGGUAGAUGAGCCGCCGCCGCCACCACCACCACCACCACCACCAGGGGGGUUAAGCGGGGUCAUGUGCAUGUGAAUGUUGCUGGUGUGUGCUGAUGGCGACCACCCGCAGGACUCGGAGCACAGACGGGCGCCGUGCCUCCGGUCCGCAUGAGGUCAUCUCGCUCAACUCCACAACAUCCAAGUCCCUUGCGGCCAACCAGGUCAUCGCGCACCCGCUUGUGCUGGCCGCAGCGGCCGGGGCCUCUCCGGCGACAUCCAUCCUAGCGGCGUCCGGGGUGGGGCUUCCGCCGCCGCCGUCGUCGCCGUAUACUGGCGGGCCGGUGCAUGGGGGCACGACGCCCGUUGGCGGCGGCGGCAUGCCGCCCGGCACGCGGUCUCGGACACCGCCGGAUAUGGCCGUUUCUACCGCGUCGUCACGGUUUAACCCGGUAGUGGAGGAUGACGAUGAAAUGCCGCCGUUGCACCCGCAGCAACAGCAGCAGCAGGGCAGCGAGUCUAUGCGAGAGUCGCAGGUGCUUCUCGGCGGAGGAGCGGUGGCAGCGGCGGCGGCGACGGCCGCUGGCGGUGGUGGCAACAGCACUCGUCGCUAUGCGACGGCGGAAAGCGUUGCGAUGUCCCACCAGCAGCAUCAGCAGCAGUCGCAACAAUCUAGGCUGCUGACGGGGGAGAGCAACGGCGGCGCCUCCUGCGACGCUGAGGAGAGCGGCGUCAGUGGUAGCGCUAGGGGGAGGCUGGGUCAUCUUCAGCGGGAAGAUUCUGCAGCGCCAGGCACACCCGGUUCUGUAGCCUCGGGUGAGUGUUAGGAGCUAUGAAUAAAGGAACAAAUUUCGUAUGCGUGCGCGGAAAAUUGUGUUUAAAUUAGGGCAUUGCUGGGACGGCAGGAAAGGGCAGAAAGUCACAAGAACUCGGCAGCUCCCUCAUUCGGUGGUUUCUUUCGAAGCCGACGACGACGCCAACGCGAAGUCGUGUUCGUCCUGUGUGUGGAUAUGUUUGUGUGUCUUUUUUUAUCAAUCAGCAACCCUCCAGCGCAACCCACGUCCCUCCCCGGCUCCGCUCCUGUAAAGCUGCGCUUGUGUUACGUCUGCAACACUUGUGGCUCGCGCCUCGGCGUGUUUUCCACUAAAAAAAACACCCUCCGCCUCCCCACCUCCCACCUCGGUGUUGGUCCCCCCCCCACUCAGGUCGGGUCGGGGGCGUCUUCUUCACGGACCUGCACCGCUCGUUUGGCGGUCAGGGUACCCCUGGACGGGCUUCUGGAGGAGUCGGCGACUCGCAGGACUUGAGGGACACCCUAGCAGCUGAGGAAGUCGGGGGAGAUGGCGACGGCGACGACCAUGAGGACGGUCGCGGGAAUUCGCGGGCGAGCCGUCUGGGGCUCAUUUCCGCAGUCACCAGUCGACUGAACCCCAUGCAGAGCCCAACUAUGUCCGAAGACGGUACGUGCGGGACAGUGCGGGGGCCCCCAGGAGGGGCGGAGGGAAGGAGGGAGGGGCGGAGGGAAGGAGGGAGGGGCGGAGGGAGGGAGGGAAUUGUAUGCAAAAACGGUCAGCUGCCAGGAGGAUUAAAUGUCCACUCUGCCAGGAGCGGGUGGGGUCGAUUGGAGUCAUGGAAGGGUGGCGGUGGUGGGAUGUAUAGAGGUGGAAGUGGAGGAGUUUGCGAGCCGGAGGCUGUUGGGAUGAGUCUAGUGGUGGUGGUCUUGGUCUUACUGGGUUGUGGAUUGGGAUGGGGAGGGGUGGAGGAACGGGCGGGCAGGGUGGAGGAGGGCAAAAGGGCACGGAAGGACGGAAGGACUGCAACGGGAAUUCGCCGCGUGGUGCGCUGCCCUGAUGGCAAGGUCGACUGGAUAGGGUGCGUGCCUCCUUUCUGUUAUUUGGCUGUUUUUUGACGAACGUACGCGGUGUUAUAUAUACUUGUGGGUUGUUUUGUCGCAGGCGAAGAAGAUGACGAAGGCGAUGACUUGUUUGCGGAGUACGCGGGCGAGGCGUUGCGCUCUGCUGCGGCGGCGGAGGCCAGCAGCAGCGGUGGCGCUUCCGGCAGUACAGCGGAGGAGGCGGCGACAGCCGGAGGGCGGGCAAGCACAUCCGCCCUGACCGAUUACACCAACCCCGUGCAGGUGCAUAUCCUGUAGGGCGAAGGUUAUCGCUACCUGGCGUAGAUCGUAAUUAUUGUGUUAAGCAUGGUGGUUACGGGAAUCGAUCCCGGGACCUAGAGCUCAAAAAUCCGAGUCUUUCGCUCCCAUCCUCCCUUUGUCAUUUAGUUAAAUAAAAUUUGUCCUCUCAUUUUGCGCGCUCUUCUGGCCAUCCCUGGGGAUACAUACAUCCCGCCGCUCAGACGCCGUACGAUUCGAGGCUUCCAACGCCGCUGCUGCCCUCAGCCGGCGCGGCAGCCGAACUUGAUCUGGCCGCGCCGAUGGCGGCGACGUCAGACCCUGAGUCCCGUAAGUCGCUGUUGCUGGUCAUUCAAGAUCUGUACGUCACGGAUUCGGAGCCGCGACUCUCAAUGGACCCCAGCCGACCUGCCACCGCAGCCGGCGAGCCGCUGGCCCAGACCCCGGCCACCCCAAUGCCGCCUGAGUCGCCUGUAGAGGGGGAUGGUGGGGGUGAGGUGGAGGGGGGCCUAGGUACUGAUGACACGGAUGCUCUUGCCGCGAGCCGCGCAGCUGUGGCCGCGCUGGCGGCCCGGGCUGAGAGUCAGCAGUCCCAACGGCGCAGCGAACUGGGGGAGUACAUGACGGCCUUGCAGGUGAGGGGGUCCACGGCACGGGGGGGGGGUGGCUGACUGGAUGGUGCAUGGCAGGUGGCUGGGUUGGUUCCUUGGGGGUGUUCGAAGGCCUGAAGGGCUGAGGCGUGUCGAUGGAUUGGUUUCGUUCGUCCUUGUCCUGGGUGACGCACCCACGAUUUUUCCCGACCCAAGCUGCCUCCCACGCUUCGUCCAUGCAUUCACCUUUCACUCUUCCCUCCUUUCUACUUCCCUUCCCAGUAUCUUCCCCUUCCCAGUCGCAGGCAGUUUAUCCUUUCUGCAAUAUGCAUGUGACCCUGUCCUCCUCAUGGCUAUGCUUCCUCUGAUGUUUUGCGGGUCAGGAGCUGAAGGACGAGUCCGGGGGUCGCCUUGUGGAGCUGCCCGCCGACUGGGGGGUCAUGCUGGAGCGCCUGUUCAGGCAACGUCGGGCGGAGUUUGAGACGCUGCAGGGCUGGAUGGGGCCUCGAAGGUUUGAAGGUGAGGAGGGUGACGACGAUGACGACGGCGACGACGACGACGAGCAGGGGUAGUACGGCUCUGAAGCGUGGCGUAUGGUGCGGGCGGAGAGGCUGCAGCACGCAGCGCCUCUCAUGGACUGUUGUGGUUGCGAAUCUCACUCCCUCUCACUCUCUCUCACACUCUCUUAUGUGCGCUAUCCCACGGGUUUCCCUGGGGCUCUUCUUUUCAUUGCUGUGUCUGCUGUUCUUCCGGGUAGCGUGACAUGCCGGUGUGGCACCUCCAUCUCGCUCUCAGAGCAAGGGCAUUGUGAGGGUUAUGGUCACCUUCAACGGUUGCUGCACGAAGGGCGAGGCUGCACCACACCUAGUCGAGGCGUGGGAUCCCGAGUUGAACUUACCAAUACGUGGUUUCGGGGCUGCUGGUUCAGCGGUAACUUCUUCCCCAUUGCUCCUUUUUCCUUACCCACCAACCCAAGUCAACCGCGCUCAUCGUCCUCGACCCCCGCCACUGGCACCACCGCCGCCACCACUGCUGCGAUUUUUCGCUGACUUCGCGCCUUCCCCUGCCCCCGCCCAACCAUCGCCCCGCCCCGCCAUCGCCCCGGCAUUGGCACUGUGUCUCCAGACCUCCCGAUUAACCAGCUUCCCUCCAACCACCCGGACCCACGGGUCGAAGAAGGGCUGUCUCGAAUCCGCGAGCUGGAUGCCGUACUGAACGACAAGCUGAUUGCGGCGCUGAUCAGCCACCGGGAGACAUUUCCCGACCAGUGGGCGGAGCAGGAGCGCAAGAGGCUGGAGAAGCACACCAAGGCGGUGGAGGAGGCGCUCAAGUGGGUGGUGGGCGGGCGGUGGAGGUGGUGGUGAUGGUGGUGGUGGUGGGGCCAGGGUGGUGGCGAUAAAGAGGAGAGGCAAAUUGCAAACGGAGGAGGGAACGGGCAAAACGUCGUAAGGAUGAAGUCGUUGUUGUCGACGUCCCGGCCCUUGUGGUGGCGGGGGAGGAUGGUUGGCUUGUGCUGCCUCUAGUGUGGAGGGAGGUGGGUGAAGGGGGCAAAACGAAGGAGUAGGGAAAUCCGGACGGAAACUGGAUCCUGUGGUCACAACGGCGUUGGGUGUUUGUUGGGGCAGUGUGGCUGGGGGCAAGGAAACCAAGCAAGCUACAACAGGCGCGCGUUCCUUCCGCACCCCUUCUCUAUCUUCCACUCUUUCACUCUCUCUUCCCCCGACUCUUUUCCACUCUUUCACUCACUCUUUCACUCUUUUCCACUAAACCAGUGGUUCACCCUGCCCACAAUUACCCACCGCCAUCGCCACGGUCGCCUUUGGACUCCGGCAGCCGGCGCUUUGGGUCGUCGGCAGUUGUCCCUGUUUGAUAUCAUCAUCAUCAUCAUGAUGAUCAUCAUCUUCAUUCCCCCUCCUCCCUUUCUUUUGCUUCUUGCAUGUGAUUCACCCACCACCCCCUCCUCCCGGCCUUCAGGCGCGAGCGUCAGAAGCGGCUCCGUGCCGCCCGCAUCUCCCGCGCCGUCACCUCCCUGGAUGCCGGGCCCUCGGGCCUGGCAGCCAGCCCGUCGUCUGUCCAGGGCUCCUCCAUGUCGCUGGCAGCAGGUGGGCAGGCCCCCUCCAUCUACUCGCGUCUCUUCACGUUAAAGCCGGAGGUGAGGUGAAGGGGAAUAGCAGCUGGAGAGGACGGUUUGGCCUCCUGUUUAUUCCAGGGUUCGACACCCCGUACGGGGCCCGUAAGUUUUUGGCCUUUUUUCGGUAUCCCCGUCAGGGCCCGUAGGACUUUUCGGUGGCUCCCGUAAGGAUUUUGGGGCGCGAAGCGCCCCGUACGGGGCCGCCCCCGGACCGGACCGGCCGAAGGCCGGUUACGGUGGCUCCCGUAAGGAUUUUAAGGAUUUAUAAGAGGCCGUACGGGGCCCUGUAGGGGAGAGGACGGACCAUAUAAAGGAUAAGGCCACACACUUGGCAGACAUAAUUCAUAUUGCAGUAUUUAACUACACUUUUCAUAAUACUUUUGUAGCUUCUGGUCUGUAACAUCCAGCGAUGGCAGACAUUGAGUCGUCAGGAGGUGACCAAGGGCCUCCUAAUCCACCGCCCUCCAAGAAGCGCGAGAAAAUAACGAUUUACAGGCAAAAAAAUGCAAAGCGUCACUUUCCACAGCGUUUCAGCCAAGGACAGUGCCCCCGUAAAGGUUUGCGGGGGUUACGGGGGCCCCCGUAAGCUUUUCGGCCGGUACAGGAGCCUGGUACGGGGGCCCCUCCGUAAGGAAAAUUUGGGAGGUACGGGGGAGCCCGCAAGUUUCAGGAAGGUCAGUGUCGAACCCUGGUUUAUUCCCUCUACGGUCCGGGGCUCAGCAGCUCCGUUAGCUCUGCCAGCCCUGUUGCUGGGGGGAAAGUUGGCAUUUCAAAUUUUCCCAUGUGGGUCCCUUUUUAUUGCCCCUACACACAAUACAAUACAAUACCAAAUGAAUACCAUCCUACAAUUCUAGAGUUUCUCCGUGACCCAGUAUUCCAGAUGGGGAAAGCUCACCCUGUUCCUUCCACCACCGUUUCCGUCGGCAGUUGACGCAGUGCUGCUUGCAUCAUAUCAUGAUUACCGCCACAACAUCCCCCUCCGAAACAAUCCCCUGGCGGGGGGUGCGUGUUGUUGCUGGAUGGAUCUGCAGGAGGAAGCGCUCGUGGAGGCUGUCCUGCGGCGUAACGACGAUGAGGGCGCCGCCAUUAACCCCUUUGACCUCGAGUCCGCUGCUACGUACGGCAGCGUGCCGGAGGGCGCCGACGGCGCGGAGGGCGUUGGAGGCGGCGGCGUUGGCGGCACUUCCUUCGCCGAUCCCGAUGACAUCGAUCUGGACCUGGACAUGUUUCUCCCCUCCACCUCCACCUCGGCAUCUACGUGCGUCACUCCCUCGGCAGCGGCGCCAAUGCCCAGGCCUCUCAGCGCGCGCUUGACGGAAGCCAACGGCGGCGGCGGCGCGAUGCGGCCCCUAUCCGCGAUGUCGUACUCGUCCUCUUCCCGUCCGGGGACGAGCAGCGGCCCCGCCGGUGGCCUGUCACCGCUGGCGGCCGCAGCCCUCCACGGCCACCCCGCCCUGCUCGCCGCUGGCGCAGGGCUGCGCAACAGCGGCAUUGGCGGUGGUGGUGGCGGCGGCGGAGCCACCGGGCUACUACCGGAGCGCGUGUACGAUGAUCCGCGCGCCGCGGCCCGCGCGCUGCGCGCUAUCAACGCCCGUUUGGCCGCGUUCGAAUCUGAGCACCUAUGGGACGAAAGCGGUGCCCUGGCGGACUUCAAAUCCGUCACUGCUACCCAGCCACAGCCACAGCCACAGCAGCAGGGCCGUAAACCGCCGCAGCUGGGGUCGGAGGCCAGCCUGGGUCCGAGCCCCAGUGUGGUGGGCCCGGUCCCGGCCAGUGCCGCCGCCGCUGGUGCACCGCCGCCUGCCGCCGCCGCCGCCGCCGCCGGUAGACGGACUCACUCCCCGCCUCGCAGCGUGCGGUCCGCGGCAGGCGGUCAGGCGGCCAGUGUGAGCGGCGUGUCGGUGACUGCCGGGGGCCACAGGGACUACCUGCGUGAGGAGCGGCUGGCCAAGGAGCUUGCGAUGCGGUGCGUGGGGGUGAGGAUUGGGGUUGGGGUUGUGCUGAAGGUUGUGCUGGAAGGUUGUGCUGGAAGGGGAUGGUACAUGGUACAAAGCGCAAAGCUGGGCGAGGGGGUGGGGUUGGGGGCAAGAAGAUGUUGAGGGGCAAGGUGGGGAAGGGGUGAUGAAGAAGACAAUCAGGUUCCAGAGCAGCAGCUGGCGGGUUGGGGUACCGUUGGCUGUAGGGGAACAGGCAGGGGAUGUGGCGGGGAGUCUGAGGGUGUAGGGGUCGGGGUACGGCCGGUACGGCGGACUGCAGCGGCAUUUAUGAUGUGGGCGUGGGUGGCACCUGUGUGGGUGUCGUCAUUUCGGAAUAUGGUUUUUCUCACAGUCUUUCUGGCACAGUUCCUGUCAGAUCCAGGAUUCGCCCGGUUAAAGUCCCAUUCUUCUCUAACACACCUCAAUCAGACCUCUGCCGAGUCCGCUUUCAAACCCUCCGUGUCCGCACCUCCCGUCCUGCCAUACUCUCUCUUGCUUCAUGGCGAUACGCGCAGGGAGCGUGAUGUUGAUACGGCACUACGCAGCCUCAAGACGGGGGAGGUGGUGCGGCUGGGGGAGGUCACCCUCAAGGCGCUGGUGGAGCAGUGCAGGAGGCUGCAGGUGCGGUACGGUGCGCGGUGCGGUGCGGUGCGGUGGGGACGUCUGUGCAGCGCAGUCCAGGACGCGCUAGUACAUGCAUGCAGAUGUGUAGUAGUAGCUGGCCACCGCUGAAAAGGCCUCUCGAGAUGCUGGUGGUGGUCGCGCUACGCGCGUAUUUGUAUAGCGCCGCACUGUGUACCAGCUACUACAAGAUGACAGCCUUGGUUAGUUGGUUGUGCGAACGAAAGCGCAGAGCACGAUACCCUACCCACGACACCUUAACUAAGUGCCUCUGUACUGAACCGUCUGGAAGCUUGGGGCAUAUAUAUAUAUAUAUAUAUAUUUAUAUUGGACAGCGAGCAAACAAAAUUGGUGGCCCACCUGGUGCAUAUGUAACAUGUGGCUUUUACGCGCUCGCCUCUACUACACAGGCGGUCAUAGUUGACUAUUGUCCUUAGCAACUUUCUUUUGCCAUCGAAACCCCUGGAGGCCUUUAGGUCUCCUUAAUGGUAUGACACCUUCCCGCAUGUGCCCACUUCGCACAUACCACCUGCAUAUUCCACAUUCACUGAUCUCCUUGCUGCCGGUCCCCCGCCCUCCCGUGUCCCGCCCUCCCGUGUCCCGCCCUCCCGUGUCCCGCGCCUUCUUUGCGCGAACUACGUUGCUCUCCCUUCCCUCGCCUCCCUUUCUUCAAUCUUCCCGCUUGCCCGCCGGCCCCUGCCAUGGCGAUGGCGAUGGUCAUGACGCGGGUGAUGUACUCCCAGGAGCUCAAUGAGCACCGGCGCAAGAUUGAGGAGGCGGAGGCGGCCGCACGCAAGGCCCAGCUGCAGCGGCAGCAGCUCCUGGCCAGCAGGGCCUCGGAAACGGGCUCUGCAAGAGGGGUGAGUACUGAGUACUGAGUACUGAGUAGAGCUCCCUCCUUGUUUUGAAUCGCGAUCCUGAUGAAGCAAGCAAUGGCACCCACCUCCUGUCCUGCCAAGCUGGCCUGCAUUUGUGCCCUUGGUGCUAGGCAGGGCCAGUAUAAAUCCUAUAUAUCUUUUGGACAUAACCUCGAACCGAUGUCACAAGAGCUGUUUGUUCCGCUCACGUGCUGUGCUGCUGCUGGUGGUGGUGGUGGUGGUGGUAUCAGGUUCCUGCUGCCGGCAACCCUUAACGACCCUUGAUGAUUCUUGACCGGUCUUUGUCCGCGUGUCGGAUCCGCUCUUUCCUUCGCAGACCCCCAAGGGCUCCAGCGCCCCCAGCACCAGCGGUAACGGCAGCGGUAACGGCAGCAGAGGGCAGACUCCUCCUCCCGCGCAUUCAUCAGCCCCGUCAUCGCGGUCGGGACCAGGGCCUGGAGCAGCGCCAGGAACGUCCGCAGACGCCGCCAGCGGCAGCACCGCAGCGGGGGGCCGUGGCGGGAAGCCGCCGCCUUCGACGUCGGGAGGCGCGGGAUCGUCUGGGUCAGCUGCAGCUGUUGGUGGAGCAGGUGCAGCAGCUGGGGCUGGCGGCAGCGGGGGUACAGCGCCAAGGCAGAACAGCGCGGGUAGGGCUUAGGAGCUGUGGGUUGGGGUGUGGUCUUAGGGGAUGAGUGUGUAGGGGGCUUACCCGGUACCUCCUGGUAGGUGGCUGAAUGGAAAGGGAUGUAGGAAAAAGGAAAAGAGAGUGUGGGCCUUUGGGGGGGAGAGGAGCGGAGGAGCGGACAGACAGCUACAGACUUAGGAUGGGAUGGGACGGGACGGGACGUGGAUUUACCUUCCUAUUUGCUUCCUCAACAUUCCCUUGAAUUUUCCCUUGAAGAAGAGGAGGAGGAAGCGGGGGGAGGAGAGGGCAUUUCGGGUUUGUUUCCUCUAUAUAUUACUCCAUGUUUUUUUGUUAUUGUCACUGGUAAAGGCUACACACUCAUCCAGCUAUCGCCGCCUCUCCCUCGAGCAUGUGUCCGUCUGUCCUUCUCUCUCCAUUUUUUCUUGUAGGCAAGGCACGCAGCAGCACCUCUGCUGGCAGCACGGGGGCGGCGCCAUCAGGGGCUCCGUCAACAACCGGUCGACGAACCAGCGACCCUGCUGUCACCGUUACCACCACGACUGCUCCCGCCAGCUCUGGAGCCGCUACCUCCCCGGCGUCCGGUAACGGAAUCGUGGGCAGCGGCAAGGGCAGCAAACAGACGGCAGCAGUAGCAGCAGCAGCAUCUGCAUCCGCACACGCACCUGCCGCGACUGGGGCCCCAGCACCCAAGCCAAGGUCCGCCAGUAAGACUGCUGGAUCACCUUCCCCCAUUGAUGGUGGCGGUGGGCUCCCGCCACCACCGCCACCGCCACCGCCAUAAGGACAGCAGUGUUGCGUGAAGUGUAAAAAGAAACUGCGCUGCGCGGUGUGGUGUGGUGGACGGAAGGCGGAAAGAUGAUGUAUGUGCCCUCUUUCCUUGUCUCAAGCCGUGCACCUUGCACCUUGCAUCCUCGUGGUCGCGUUGUUGGACGGCAGUAGCAGCAGGGCUAUUAAGGUGGUUCUGGGGCUGCUACAUGCUACAGAUGCUGCCGGGGGUAUAGCCUAAUGUGGCUAUGUGGACCUGGGGCCUUAGGGUUAGCUUUGCCGUGUACAGACUGCGAAUGGAUAGGAUGCUGGUUGUUAGGUGGUCACUACCCUACCAUACACAGUAUGUAUUGCCAGGUAGGGGCAAGGCGAAAUCCCCGCACUUCUUCCCCGCGAAUUCUUCCUCUCGACGGAUGAGCUUCCAUCCAGAAGGCUAGCGACAUGGCGCGGGUCGUCGGCGGGUCUGCUGGUGCUUCACACAUCUCCUAGUUAGGCGCCAGACGCGGGUGAUGGUGCAGGCAGCGGUGUAGGGAGAACAGGUAGGGAGAGCGGGACCAGGCGGCCAGGGGCCAGCGGCGUCUCGUUCCGGGGCAUACAUCUCCUGGGCGACAUGCAUCUCCUGGGGGAGGGGGGGCUGGGGAGAGCUCCCGUUUGGGUGGAAGGCUGAAAUAGCCGUUUGGGGGGACUGUCGACCGAUUCCGAUCUAUACAGCAAUCCUGGGUUAUGUAUGAGUAGGUGUUAUGUAUACGUAGCAGAUGCAGGGGUAAGGUUGUGUUUUGUCCUAGGGAGUGGUGAGUAGUUGGUUCAGCGACUGAGUGCGUGUGUGUGCGCGUGUUUUGAUGCACUGGGCCAACUGUGUAUGUGCUUUGGUAGGUAUGUGUGUGUGUGUGUGUGAAUGUGUGUGCACACGGUGUGGGGGGCCUUUUCCUUGGGGGAAAGGGAAGAGUAAUGGCGGGUGGAGGAAAGAGUUAGGUUCAGCGGGCCUUUGGAGAUUUAGUGGGUGGUGGUAAUAUCAGACAGCUGGGUGAGCUGGGCUCUGUGUGGGGAGCUCUAUACCGAUUGCAGCAGGAAAAUGAUCCUUUGUGAGCAGCACUUCAUCAUAUGGCAUCUGCAGGCUUUGUUAGUGUCUUCCCAUCCGCUUGCAGGUCUGGCACAGUCGGCUCCUGGGUGUGUGGAUUUCCGGAUGGGGGUCUCCGGCCCGGGGGGGGGAUUGAGACAAUGUGUUACAUGUCGUACUGCGUGUACCGUACUGGCCAGCAGCAGCAGCAGCAGCCGGUGUACCCCCCCCACACACACACACACAACUCGUCUCGCAACCCAGGCUGGCCACAUCGUCGCCAAGAUUACUCGAGUCAUCACUGGUCAGUAAAUAUUGCAGGUGCAGCAUUUAUCUUCUCCUGGACUAUCCGUUUAUCUCUGGUACCUGCUUCAUUCGGCAGUGGUUCGUCUUUCCCUCAAUGGUUAUCCGUCACAUGCGACCAGAUUUCAGGAAACUUGAACUCUCAAACAAAAUCCCCUGCGCGAGUUCUGAAUAAAAAAAACUGCUCCAAAAGAUUAUCUAACUUCGCCUGCUGGUCUCAUGAUGCAACAUUAUUUCUCGCAUUUCUAUAUUUCUGUAAAAGCACCCCAAGGCACGCCUGAAAAGCUCAUAAACCCGAUAUUCCUUAUCAGUAUCACAACUAUAAUACUCGUCCGCCACCAACGCGGCCCUCACGGUAAGUUCCGCAAGUACGUUCGAGGCAAAAGGGGUCCUCCGGCCGGUGAACGUGCAAAACGGGAUAGGCUGAGGUUCCCUCGACCCCAACGAAAACGCAUCGGUGCCGUGUGAUGAUUCCGGGGUAUACACCUAUAUAUAAUAUAUCCCUAAAAUAUGCUCCAGCUGUUCCCUUAAGGGUACGGUUGGAUCACAUGAUGCUAUGCCCAGUCAUCCUAAAUUAUUAUGUAGCCCAUGUCGUUUGCAAGGUUUCCUAAAUCCCACGCUCUCCGCCGACAAAAAAAACAUACAAACAGCUACAACGGACAUCUCGCCCUCUGCACCUCCACCCUUCCCAACGCCUCUCUGGCCAUCCAAUUCACCACGAGCGCACCACCACCUUCUUCACCUGCGACCGUCAUGACGGACACGACGCCAUCCUUGGGAAACCCUGGAACUUACUACCAACAACCCCCAAGUCGACUGGCGCACCAGCACCGUCACUAUCGGCAACACCGUCAUUCCGCAUUCCCCUUACCGCCCAUCUGCCCUACAAAUCGAGUUUGUCUCCAUCGCCAGUAUGCAGAAGUGCAUCCGCCAAGCUGCUCCUGCUGUGCGCCGCCGCCAAGAGGAGUGCGACGGUGUGCCAUACACCCCGUAGUGUGUGUGGGAGUCCUGCAAGCUAAAUCGUCAUGAAGCCAAUUUUACACCAUCCACGAGCUCGAGCUGCUUGCUGUCGUACACGCAGUGCGUAAGUUUCGGUGCUAUAUUGAAGGCUGCCAUUUCACGUUGUGCACCGACCACGACACCCUGAACACCCUGUGCAGCGCUUCUUCACACAGAAAGACCUCUCACAGCGCCAAGCCUGUUGGGCCAAGCUCCUAACCCCAUUCCAAGGCUACAUGAAAAGCUGUAGACGUAGCUUGAAUUUUUCAAGUAAUGGGCGGCGGACGGUAAAAUCAGGGAAAACGACACCGAGUGCACAAACCAAAUGCGAGCAGCCCAUUCAAAAACGGAUGUUAGAUUUUGGCAAAGAUAGACUCUCGCCGUAUGGCUGGCUAUUCCCACGACCGCCGUAAGCACCAUCACCUCUCACCCAAGCCUCCCUCUCCACCCCCCUCCACUCCCAACCCCGCACCCCCCCUCGCCGGUGACAUCAAGCAAACCAGCUCCAGGUUAGGGAAGACCUCCCGGCCAUGAAACACCUGGGCAAUACCCCAGAUCCACUCCCCCACAUGCAGCCCACCCACACAACACACCGCCCCACACACAUUCCCAGAGCGACGUCCUCCCUCUGGACCACGCACAUGACAGGACUAGGCGCACUAGCCACCGGGGCCGAUGUCAUGACCGCGGGUCGUCAUUACUAUCGGCCACUAGUGCAACUUUCGCAAUGGGUUGGUGUUGGGAGAGGGGGGGUUUCGCAGCCGGUUGUGUGUUUUGCUACCCUGCCAAGCUAGCAGCUGGUGACUUAGCUAAUGUAUUGCAACAUGGCAGGACUGAGCAACAACCAUCGUACACCACACAGUGCCGUACCCUAUACCGCUGUCGUGACACAUGAUCAUCAUGAUGGUCUUGGGUGAACUCUGACAGUUACAAGGUGCGUGCCGAAGCUGCGGUUUAGCACUCAUGCAUCUUAGGGUUUUGUGAGGAGGUGGUCAAGGCCAUAAAGCGGCUCAAGAACAAUAAGGCAUGCGGCCCUGGCAAAAUUCGGGCGGAAUGUUUGAAAUGUGCGAUGCGACUCGCUUGGUGCAGGAGAUAAGGCCCGCUUGGCCACCAGUCAAACAACAAGUACAAAUGUGCAUUGCGGCUGUUUCGCAGCUGUAUCGCAGACAUUUUCACACAUCUAAGCAAAUAUCCAUAUGCCACAUUUUCAUACAUCUAAGCAUUUGCAUAGUUAAACAUGCCCGAGUCAGCUCGAGCUGAUGAGCGCCCAACCAAGGUCCCCCGCAUCUCCCUCGAGAUUCGCGGCUUCGGCAAGCUCGAACCGCCUGUUUGCCUUCGAUGUCAGCGAACUUGACGUUUUGCAGAAAGAGUUUUCAGUUAUGAAGUCUAAGAUGGCAUUGCAGUUGGAGCUGGGCCGCACCUCCUGGGAGCGGGCCUGAGCUGGAAUGCAUCAGUGGGUCCACUUCUUUCCACGCUUGAUUCAGUUGGUGUAUGUCGCUUGUGUCCUUCCCACUCAAACGGCGUGUGUUGAGUGUGGCUUUAGUGUCCACCGCAUUACCAAGAACAGGCUGCGUAACCGGCUGGCUGUCCCGUCCAUUGAUUCCUUUCGCAGAAUCCCUCUCCAACCCCGAAGGGGCCGGAUGGGGGACACUACUCCUCCGUUUUCUGUGUUUUUUGGGGCACGACGUAUGGAAAGAGGCCCCGCAAGGGCUACAUGAGGUAGACGAACGAGUGGAGUGGCUGAUGAACAGGCCAAUGCCAGAAGGUGUGAUUUUGGAGUUCAAGGACCGAUUAGUGAGUGGUUGGAAGCAUACGCGUUUAGAUGUCCAGCCUGACGUGUAUCCGUCCGACGGCAAGCAACCAGGAAUCCACAUGGCGAAGUAUAAGCAUUGGGUUUUGGGUUUUAGGGUUUUAAAACCCACGCUUCGAACAUAUGAAGGACGCUAUGAGUGGGAACCUGAAUGCCUGGCAAGGAUGCUGGAACGCAUAUGGUCCCACCGCAACUCUAUCGUUCCCUUUGGUCGUUAGUAUCCUUCAUUACUUGUUUCGUUGGAAGUGCGAGGUAGGAUGGUGCUUAUAGGCGAUUUGGCAGCCCUUGAGCCCUCGGCUCGUACUAGGGUGGUUUGCAGGUACGGGGAACGCACCCACGACCAUGUAACAACAACAACAACAAUGAUUCCUUUCUGCGUGUUGGAUUACUCGGUCCAACCGUGGAUAUGAAAUCCAAGCCCCUUGUGAUUUGAAGCUGCUUAGGAGUAUGUAUGUUGUUACAGGGUGGUUAACUUCGCCAGCGGCCCCCUUUCCCGGGGCAGUCCCUGCUCUCCCCUGCUAGAGGGGCACCCUAAUCCGUCACCCCAUCCGACUUCAGAAUGUAUUCGUUGGGUUCGGCAACUCACCACCAGCAUCCAACCAAAUCUAGCGGAUCAACGGCGCAUCAACUUAGUUCCUGGUCAGCUCGCAAGUUGAUAUUAUCACGUCCUACACCGUCCAUAUGAUGGGGGGCCACCUCCCAUUUCAUCACUCCUCAAACACCCGAGGAGCUGGCAGGCGGAUUUGAACCUGGGUCGACUGGAUCGACUGGGAGCAGAAGUCAGGCCUUAACUUCUGCCAGCCGCCUGC
This 76680-nucleotide long non-coding RNA is filed under the name Volvox carteri. RNAcentral describes it as "long non-coding RNA (VCAR_LNC003366)". The record is from RNAcentral. Lineage: Eukaryota; Viridiplantae; Chlorophyta; Chlorophyceae; Chlamydomonadales; Volvocaceae.